RNAcentral lists this long non-coding RNA (49848 nucleotides) under Theobroma cacao (cacao). Its description in RNAcentral is "long non-coding RNA (TCAC_LNC004835)". Lineage: Eukaryota; Viridiplantae; Streptophyta; Magnoliopsida; Malvales; Malvaceae. The record is from RNAcentral.
UACUACAACUCGCCUCUGUCUCCAUGAUGGUUCUGUAGUAGCCAAAGAUGAAAAAUUCAGGAAAAUUGUUGGUUCUCUCCAAUAUCUUGUUCUUACUAGGCUAGAUAUUUAUUUUGUUGUAAACAAACUAUCCCAAUUUAUGCAUAAACCAUCCACACUGCAUUAUCAAGCUUUGAAGAGAGUAUUGCGGUAUCUUAAAGGCACCCUGUUCCAUGGUCUCUUCAUUAAAAAGGAACUCAUUCCAUCUCUCCAAGUCUUUACGGAUUCUAAUUGGGUAGGAAAUCCUGAUAAUGGGACCUCUACUUUUGCCUUUCUCAUAUAUCUUGGUGGUACUCCUAUCUCUUUAAGCUCCAAGAAACAAAAGACGAUUGCUAGGUCCUCUACAGAAGUUGAAUAUCGUGCUAUAGCAACUGCUGUUUCAGAAGCUACAUGGAUUCAAUCUCUCCUUCAGGAACUUCAGAUCGUCCUACCUAGCUCUCCCAUUGUGUAUUGUGAUGACUUAAGUGCCACCUACAUUUGCAAAAAUCUAGUCUUUCAUAUAAAGAUGAAGCAUUUACAUUUAGAUUAUUUUUUUGUUUGCGAAAAAAGUGAAACAGGGGAAACUUCUGGUUCACCAUAUUCCCACAACACAUCAGUUAGCAGAUGCACUUACUAAACCACUAUCCAAAGCACGGUUUCAUUUCUUUUUAUCCAAGAUUGGAGUCACUAAGGGUGCCACCAUCUUGCGGGGGCAUAUUAGUGUUACCAAUAAGCAUAUGUUAAAGCCACAUGCCAAUAAGCUCCCUUCAACAACAAAGGACAAGCAUUACGGAUGAGAUAUGUUUUAUCAACUUUUUGACUUGUGAUAGCUAUCUUAUCAAACUAGUAUUUUGAUAACUCCAUUAUCUUUGUACUAUAAAUACAUGAGUGUGAAAUAGAAACAAGCAAGACAAUUUUCUUCAUAUUCAAUAUUUAAUAUUGAAUUUCUUUAGUAAUGAUGUAUUUAUUUUUUUUGGUAAAGUAUUCUCAUUGAAUCUUUGCAUUUAUAAUUUGAUAAAAGGUCGGUUGAGUGCUUUGUUUAUAUGCUAUACUGUACUUCCUUGAAACAAUGAGAUGCCAUCAAAAUGAACCAAAAAUGAGCUGGUCAAGGGAGAAAAGGUACCAAAAGGAAUAGACAACUCAACUAUGAAUUAUUCUUCUAAAGUUUGAGCCAUCUCUAAAUCUCAAAAUAGCUACAAAUUAUUGGCCCUGUACAAGACAAACAAUAACAUUACUAUUAACGUAUGAGCUAUUUUCAACAUAAAACUAGAGAGAAAAUGGUAGAGAAGAAGAGUUGGGGAACAAGAUUGCUAAUAUAUUCUAUUCAUCAGAAGUUUAAAUAGUCAAACCUGAUUACAGGAAAAAGAAAAUAGCAUAAAACGAAAGAGUACAAGCGAAUCAAUAGAAAUGGGAGAGAUGGUGUCGCUUUCCACUAUACAGUUGGUACCUAUUACUUAUCAACCUUUUAUGCAGAACAGGUGGGCUCUUUUGCAGAGUCAUUAAUAAUAAGUUUGGUAAAAAAAUAGAAUAGUUAUUAUGUAAUUUAGUAUGAUUAAUGAAAUAUGAUAAGAAUAAUUAUUAUAACUUAUUAUAGUAUUUGGUUAGUAAAAAUAACUUUGAAAAAAAAAUACCUUUUAUUAUAUAUGAUUAUUUAUUUUUAAAUAUUAAUAAUUAAUAAUUUAAAUAUUAAUACUUUAUUUAUAAUUUAAUCAUUAAUAUUUUAAAAUACUAAUAUUUUAUUUAUAAUUUGUAUUAUUAUGAUUAAAAUAUUAAUAAUUUUAAUUAAUUCCUAAAUUUGAAAUAUUAAUUUUUAUAAUAUAUAAUUAAAAACUUAAACUUUUUAUUGUAAUAAGAUUUAUUUUUUAAAAUAAUAUAAUUUAGUAAAAUUUAUACCAAAAGAUAAAAAUAUGCAAAAUUUUUCUUUUUUAAUUAUUUAAUUUUUAUUUUCAUUAAAAUUUUAAAAUUUUAUUAAAAUUUUUUAUUAAAAGAGUAGUAUAAAUUUUUAUUUUUAUCUCUCUUUGUAUUUUUAUUUUUUAUUUAUGUUUUCAUUAAAAAUUUAAUAUAUUAAUUAUUAAAAAAGUAAACAUUAAUAUUUGAAAAUAUUAAUAUUUAUUUAUAAUUUAAAUAUUAACAUACUAAUAAUUUUAAAUAUUAAUUUUUUAUAAUUUAUAAAUAAAAUUUUAAUUUUUUUCCUUUCUUUUUUAUUGUUGGCCACCCAUCGGAAAUGUGGCUGGUGUAAUAAAAUGUCGAUCUAGCGCACCAUGUGGCUAGAUUUGGCCACUACGGAGCCAAAUUUGUGCUUCCCACUACCAGAUCUGGCCGUGAAGUGCUAGAUUCGAUUGUGGGGAUUUGGCUGAAAAGAGCUAGAUCUAGUGUUUCUUGCGACCAGAUUAGGCUAUAGGUUUUAGAUCCAGUGACUCCUUGGUCAUAUCUUUCUAGAAAGCACUAGAUUGAUGCUUUUCGACCAUAUUCGAUCAUAGAGCUGCUAUUGUCACCACCAUUUGUCGCCGUUGUCAUCAUCUUUGGUGAUAAGUGCAAGUUAGAGAGAGAAUGAAAAAGGCAAGAAUGUGAGAAGAGAGAGAAAGAAAAAAGAAAAAUGAGAAGAAAAAGAAGUAUUUAUAUGUCUAAGGUUGUAAUAUUUCAUAUUUAUAAGGGGUAUUUUAGUUUUAUCAAUUUUGAAAGCUAUUCCUCAGCUAUGGAAUAGCUAAUACCAUGGAAAGGCUUGAGUUUAGUUAAGCAUGAGUUUUAACUGAUUUUGAGGAAUAGCUAUUCCUUAACACCAUUACCUACCAAAUGAGGGAAAAAAGAAAAGAUGAGAAUAAAAAGGGAAUAACUUAGCUAUUUCCUAUACCAAAUAUGCUAUAAACAGUAAAACAGACAACAUGCGGUAAAUAUUAACAAGGUGAAAUAAACAAAGCUUAAACGGUGUCACAUGGCUUCAUUUAAAUGAAUCAAGUGAGGUCUUGCACAUGAUUUCUUCUUCAACCUUUCAAACUUAAACAUGCCAUGAAUUUGAUUUUCUUUUUCCAGGUCCACUAGUUUGCAUAGACAGAGAUUAUUUCAACACACCUCCUUAAUGUUUUUCUUGCAAAUACCUAGCUUCAAUCUCAUAGACAAACUUUUCUUUACUCAAUCCUUUUGUGAAAAUAUUUGCUAGUUGCUUAUCUGAAUAGCAAUGCUUCAACAGAAUUUCUUCAGUUUUGAUAGCUUCCUGAAUUGCAUGAAAUUUCACUUUUAUAUGCUUAGUGCGUCCAUGCUGUAUAAGAUUCUUUGCAAUUGCAAUUGCAGAUUGAUUAUCAAGCCACAUGGUUGUCCCAAAAUCCUGUCUAUAUCCCAAGUUAUUGAACAUUUUCCUUAAACAUAAGGCAUGAUUUGUAGUUGAGGCAGCAACAACUUACUCAACUUCCACAGAGGAUUGAGCCACUAUUUCUUGCUUUUUUGAAUUCCGUGAAAAAGCUACACUUUUAAAAGAAAAACAUAACCUGGUAAUGCUUUUUGAAUCAUCCGGGCAUUCAUGUGAAACCCCGUACUUUUAUGUAGUGAUGUGCCUAGACUUAAUAUGAUGUUGACCAAGUGGGAUGUGAAUGGAUUUUAAUUUGAUAUGAGAUUUAAUGUUGGAUGAAUUUUUUCCAACUUUAUUGACAUGAAUUUCUCUUUAAAAAAUGAUUAUAAUGAUGUGGUGUUAAUGAAUGAAUAAAUGUUGGGAGUUGUGAAAUCCCAAAUUUUAUAUAUGAUGGAAAUUUGAGCAGUUGAAUUUUGAUGAAUUAUAUGUUGGUGACGAUUAUCUAUGAGAUUUCCUUAUCAUUUGAUGUAAAUCCUUCUAUAUUAUUGUGUUAAAUUCAUGGAUGAAUGAUUGGUGAAGGAAUAGUUGAAAAAAGAAGCCAAAACAAUGUAUUUUAACAAGUUUAAACUUGAACGAUCGAUCCUUAAUGGUUACAAGUCGAUCUUAUGGCAGAAAACAUGAAAAAUUCCAAGAUUUAAGAAGCCAUAGUCAAUCCUUUAGCUCCUGUAGUUGACCCUAAGGUAGAUUGUGUGAAAGCUCCAAGAUUUUAAAAUCCAUAGUUGACCCCCUAACACUAGUAGUCAACUAUAUUGCCUUUUUGAUAAAUCACUAUAUAAAGUGUUCCACACGAGCCCUAGCCUUCAUUUUACAUUUUCUCAGUGUCCAACUUGUCCCUAAAACCACCAACACUUCUCUAACCUUUCAAAACCACAUUAGACAAAGAUUCAACCUUCCAAAUUCAAAUAGAAGGUAAGAUUAGACAUUUUUGGAUAUUAAUCACAAAUUUUUGAUCUAGCUCUAAGGUCUUGUAAAUUUCAACUCUUCAUGUUCGAAUUUGGGCUAGGUGUUAUUCAAUUUUCUACCCACGCAAGUAUAUGUAUCGCAAAGAUAUUAUAAUGAUGAGUAAAGUGUCGAUCCCACAAGGAAUUAAAUUAAUUCUUAGUGUUAACUACUAAGAUUAACACACCCUAAUUUUAUCUAAACAAUUAAAAUUAAAAUUAAAACUAACAAACUAAUAACUAAAACUAAUCUAAAAUAUAUUAGCAAAAUUAUUUUAUUAACUUCUAGUGAUUAUCAGACCUAAGAUUAUGAUAUCCUUCAAUACUUCAUCUGAAUAUUGUCUCUCUUUCUUAACUUAAUUGAAUAGAUUAAGUUGUUAACCUAGAUCCUAAAUUAUUUAUAAGUCUCUGUCAAGUUUCUCAUAAAAAAUAUCUUUCCUAAUUAAUUUACUAUAUGUCUAUACAAAUUAAAUUGAAGAAAAAUUCAUUAAGUUUGUGCUCUAAUUUUAGCUACAUAUGGCUUAUAGGUGCAUGUCUACUCUAUAUGCAAACCAAACCACCCAAUCAACUAAGUGCAUUUGAUCAUACGCUAUUCUAUUCAAUGUCUAUCGAAAUCUCUUUCAUCAAGGUUUAACCUAGGUUUCCAAAUCAAUAUAAUUGGUGAUUAGGCAAUUAGAAGCAUUAAGAACAAAAUAAAAUAAACAACUUAAAUCCAUCAAACAUAAGUAAAAGAGAGAUAAAUAAAUCAAACUACGUAUUGAGUUCAAUUAUAAUCUUAGAUAAAUGAAUUAGUUCAUCAUCAAGUCACACAUCAUCAUCAAUAAAAUUUAAACAUUAAAAACAAAGCCAAGAAAAUAAGAGAAUAAAUAAAAGAUAGAAAAACUCAAGAAUUGUAUUCUUGAUUUCCAAAUCUUUUUGAAUCCUUCAAAUUUUUCUUAGCUUCAAUGACUUUGUGGCUUGAUCUUGGCUUUCAAUUUGGUGUUUCAUUUUUUCUCCUAAAAGUCCUUCGAAAGGUUGUUUUUAUAAGGCUGUGAAGUUAGGCCAAGUUGGGUGAAGAAAGAAGUCAAUUCCAAUCAAGAUUUCCUCAUCAGAUUACGUGAGCUACGACUUUAACCAUUUAAAUAAUAGGAAUCGUAAUUGUUCUAGGACUGUUGCAUUGCUCCAACUUCGAUAAGAUUUUUGACCACUUUGCAGGCCAAAUUGGGCAAAGUGGUAAACAUAAAAGUUAUAGAUUUUUUCUUAUCUUUCCAAUAAUUUAAGAAUAAUCUCAUUUAAAGCUCUGUAAAGAGAGUUAUGGUCUAAAUAUCAAAACAUGUGUAGUGAAAGUCUACUCUUCAAAAUUGCUCUCAUUCUUUCAUUAAAAUUCUUCUUUCAUUAAAUCUACAAAAGCACAAACAAAUCAAUAAUAACCUAUCUUAAUCACAUUAAUACCAAAUUAACUAAGAUUAGAUUGACUCAACUAAAUUACUAAUUUAAAAUAAUUUAAAUAAAACUUACUAAUUUCUAUGCAUUAUUACAAAAACUAAACUAAAUUACUAUCAAAAUUAAGUCCAAAUAAUUCUAUAUCAUAGAGUUAUCACUAGGGAUUUGCGAGGUUUUGUUUUUCAAUAAGGUUGUGAAGGUAAGAAUGAUCAAGACUUCAUUAUAUAUGAUUUGGGUUAAAAUAUUGAGGAUUGUUGGCUUGAAACGAAAAUAUGGGUUUACUUGCUUAGUUUCGAAUAAAUGGGUUUGCUUGAAAAACAGGAAAUUUAUGUUGGAAAUUAUUGUGAUAGGUUUUGUUGAGCUCGAAUAUUGUAGAACAAGCAAGGUUUGAUGAAGUAAGUCUUAGAAACACGCUUUUGUCAAGAUGAGUGGAUACAUAUUAAAAAAUAUUUUAAUUUGAUAAAGCUAAGCAUGAUUUAUUAAAUUAUUUGACUUGCAUGAUAUAAAUACCAUGUUUACAAUAUUAAAUCAAAUGAUUUUAUCCAAUGUUUUCAAAGAAGUUUUAGAAUCUAUUUAUAUAUGUAAAUAUCACUACUAUUUAUUAGUUUUCAAUAAAAGGGGACAAGUCAUUUCAAACGUUUUACUUUAAAAACUUCAAUUUUAUCAUAGAUAAAGGAUAAAAAAUGUAUGUGGAUAUAUGGAUUACAUGUCACGACCCGGUACUCCCUUCGUGUGAGACCCUAUCAAGCUUGAUUAAAAGACGGUAUUGUACUAAGUGGUACAACUAAGUUAAAUCAAGCCUUGAACUAGUUCAAAUAGAAAUUCUAAGAGGAAUUUGAAAAUUUUGAAACCCACAGAAUGGCUUAGAAUAGUGAUUCGGAGUUUAAGGUCCAGUUUGGAGUCCAUCAGGAAAAUUGACCGAUUAAGGAUAAUACGGUCAUUUUACCACUAGAUGAUAAAAUGGAGAUUUUUAGCCAAGAUUUGAUCGCAUUUGACCAAGAAUAAUUAUAUGAAAUAUAAUUAUGAUUAUUGGAGUAUAAAAUGAUGUUUAGCAGUGAAAAAUUGUGAUUUUUGAUAUUUUUGGAGCACAAGGUCAAAAUGGUAAUUUUGCCACUAGAGGACUAAACGAGAAUUUUUAUAAAACGAUUUUUGCCCCAUUUGGUUAAUAUUGAUCAAUAUUAGUGUUAUUUGAGGUUGAAAAGUAGAAAUAAUGUGAUUCCGAUACAUUUCGGAAUAUAGGGCAAAAUCGUAAUUUUUUCACCCCGAGGGUAAAUCGGUAAAUUUUUUGAACCAGCACUUGUCAAGACCAAGGGAUUUUAAUUGUGGUAGGAUUGGAUAAAUACCAGAAUAUUUGUGGUGGAAAAUUAAGAAGAAAAAGUCAAAAAGUUAAAAAAUUGGGCCAAUAAGCAUGUGACACGUGGCAUGCUUGAUUAUUUUAUUAUUUUCUAUAAAAAUCAGCCCAUUAAAUCCCCAAUUCUCUCACCAUAUUCGGCCUAGGCAACCAGCAACAAGAACAAAGGAAGAACAAAGGGAAAAACAAGAAAACCUAGGUGAAAAUUUAAAGAAAAAGUGAAGAAAUCAAGGAAAGAAGCUAGGUAUGUUAUAAUUUCUUUAAUUCUCCUUGAUACCUAGCUUACCCAUGUCUUUUGUUUUUGAUUUCCAUGGUUGAAUAUUGAGUUAUCAUGAUGAAUUCAAUUCUGAAAAAAUGGGUAUGGAAGAGGAAUUGUUGUUGGAAUAAUUUGAUUUUAGACUAUGUUAGUGUUUAGGGAUAGUUAAGCAUGGUUAUGAACAAAAACACAAAAGAAAUAUUCAAUUUCUCUAGGGUUCCUUGUUGGUCGAACCAUGAGGGCUGAAUAUCAAUGGGGGAUUGUUUUUAUUUCAAGGAAAAUGGCUUGGAAAAUGAUGAAUUAAGGUGAAACGGUUAUGUAGAAAAAAAAUUCGAUGCUAGUGCACCAAAUGACCAAAUUUUUCUAUAAGGAACUGUGAGGGUUCUAAUGCUGAAUUUGGCUUUAUUUAAAUGUAUGUGGUAAAUUAAGGUAUUAGAGGAGAAAUGAAUUAAUUUGGAGGUGAUUUGGACACAAUCGUCGAUUAAUCGGGUGAUCGGUCGAAUUUAAUCGAUACCGUGAUUAAGCGGUAAUCAGACAUAUUUUUGCAUUUACAUAUCAAGCAUUAGUAAUUUAAAUUAAUUUAUAUCAAUUUAGGGACAAUAUAGUAAAUUCCUUGACUUUGUUAUUUGUCAAGGUGGUGAGACGUCCGAAAAAGGCAAAGGAAUUGCGCCUGAGGGCUAUUAGUCCGAGUGCACCCGAAAUCUGGAUUUUCGAUACCGGUGAGUGGACUUGCAUUUCAAACUUGUUUUGGGGAAUAUGAAAGAUUCUAUCCAACUUGUCUUAGAAAAUGUACCUUGGGAACAAGCUUUUAGUAAAAUGAUUUUAUAUUGUGAAAAUGUGCUAUACAAUGGUUUAUGUGUUAUCACAAUAUGAUAAUAUGCAUUGGAUGCUUCUUUACAUGUUGAUUUGAACCCGGCUAUGUGCGAGUAGGAGUGCACAUAAGCCGUUGCUGACCCGACUAUGUGCGAGUAGGAGUGCAUAUAAGCCGUUGCUGACCCGGCUAUGUGUGAGUGGGAGUGCACAUAAGCCGUUGUUGCCCCCAUAGCUUAUAGGGCUGGAUGCUUCGUGAUCUUCCACCCUAUGAGUGCUUUGAUAGGUAUGAUCUGUGGCGAAGUAUGACUCUCCACCCAAGAGCUUGGAGGAGGAGGGAAGGGACUGCUCCGUUGCUUCGUGAUCCGGAGUGAAGUGCACCUCUUGCCGAGUGAAGGGGGGGAUGCUUCGUGAUCUCCCACCCCCUAGUGACAAUAGCAUAAGCCGUUGCAUAUGAGAUGAUGAUGAUGGGAUGAUGUGCAUGAUGAUGAUGAUGGGAUGGUGUGCAUGUUGAUGAUGGGUAUAUGGUUGUAAAUGCAAAUAUGUAAGCAUUUGUUUUGUUGAAAUUUGGAAGUUUACAUGUGUUACAUGUUGCUAUUGUUAUUUUAGCAGGAUGACUUGUUUUAAGGGAAAAAGGAGACUUUUUCCUUGAUGUUCUGGUUCUCGCUGCAGCGAGAAUGAAGUUCGCUACAGCGAGAAACUUUCUGUCCAUUUUGCUAACUUGUGGGUUUUUGCCAUAUAUCCCAUUUCUUUGGUACCAUAGUUGAGCAUGGAUUUUUGUAAAGUGAUUUACUCAUGUGGGGUUUACAUGAGGGGUUUAAAGGAGCUAAAACAAUUGCAUGGUUUUGAGAAAAUGAAUGCAUCAUGAUUUCGAUAAACAUUCCUUAUGGUAUGCUUGUUCCCUUCUUGUUCACUCACUGAGUAUUGGACUCACGUUUUAUAAAAAAAUUCAUGUUUUCAGAUCAGGUGACUGUUGGACCCUAGAUCGAUGAGUCCUCAUAGUGCAUCUCCUGGGUAUGUGUUUGGCAUUUGAUAGUAAUCCUUUUUAUUGUAAAUGUCUCCGCUGAAAGUCAUAGGUCCUUUUGUAUUGUGAAUACAAUCUAACAAUGUGAAUAUGUGUAUGCAAUGUAAAUUGCUAAAUACAUGACUGGUAUAGUGCAUGUAUAUUAUUAUCGAUAACGCCAUUGUGUUUUGGCUAUAUUCACACCCAGGAAAAGGUGUGUGUGUGCAUGCAUGAUAUGAUAAAUUUGUUAAGCAAAGGUAAAUGGAUAGGCUUGCUUGGACUUAGUGAGCUAUGCUCAUUGAGCUCAUAAGCCGGUCAUGGCCCAAAAAAUUGGGUCGUGACACUUCAAGCUCGUGAUAUCUGUUGUGAUGUCUCGAUAGAUAUUCAAUACUCGAAAUGUCAAUCGAGACCUCGCAAGGCUCUCGCAUCAGUUUUACAUCUCCCAUGUGAGCAAUAGUUACUAAAUAUCAUGUUUUAAGGGAAUAUAAACUAUUUUAAAAUCAAAACAAACAAAAAAAUAAUUUCUGCCACGUAGGGGUAUUUUGGUCAUUUUUAUCCGAAAAUUUUAAAACCUGGUAAAAAUACAGCAUACGAUCGAAAAAUAUACAUUUCUUAUCUAAAAAUAAUUUUAGUAAUCUCAAUCAUCCAUUUAAAAUAAAAUUUUGGCUAAUCAAACUAAAUAAAAAUAUUAAAUAAAAUAUUCUAUUUUCUUAUAAAACAACAUUUAUAGAACUCUACGUAAAUAAUUUUUGUAGCGUAAAAGCAAAAUAUAUUCAUACAUACAGUGGCACACGCAGCCAGGUAUACAAAAUAUUCUACAAUGACAUGUGGGCCCUCAAAAUAAACAUAUAUGUACAAAACUAUAGACCUGCGAUUUUUAUGGGUACAAACCCAAAAGUAAACCCUCGACAUAAUCAACGGUCUACAGACUGCCAUGAGCUUGAAAUGGGUGAAAAGAAGGGGUGAGUUUUUAUAAACCCAGUAAGUAAGCAAAUUUCAUCUAAAACAUCUAAAGUCGAGUAAAUGUAGACAAUUCAAAAUAUCUCAUCAUAAUAUGAUUCAUAACAUUGAAUCCCAUUUCAUUCAAUAAAAAUCAACAAGGCUUAUGAUUCUCGUAAAAACUUGGUUCGUGCCAAAAACUUGCACUCGAUGACACCUUGUGCCGGGGUAUCCAACCGAGUCCGCCAAGGCUAUUAAAAUAACAUAUGAGUAUAAAACUCAUUUUUAUUUUUUUUUUACCAUUUAAAAGCACAACCAUUCCUUGGCAUUGGCUGAGUUUCACCUUCAUGUGGUGGUUCGGUGUGAAGUGAACUCUAACGUUACCUUAAAAGAUACCCUUCGCGUCUCUCAUACUAAGGUAAAAUAUAACAAGGUUUGCCGUACUCCUCUGAUAGGCUGGUUUACGAAAACUCGCCCACUGCAGUAAGCUAGUCAAAUAACCCACCAAUUCAAUAAAAUUUUUGACAGCAUGACAUGGCUAAUAUAAUAUUACCAGCCUGUCAAGACAAAGCAAAACAGUUCAUAUAUUCCACACAAACACAAAUCCAGCCAUGCUUGCCAUCACAUUGUCAUAAGCCAUCAAUUCAAACCAUAUGUCAAAACAUAUAUAUAACACAAGUAUACAGUCUCCACUUACUCAAUUUCUAAAACCAGUAUUCAAUUUCAAAACGAGUUAUAAAUCUCAUUUCGUUUAAUCAACACUUCAAUUAUAAAACAUAAUAGUUUGCAAUUUAAAUUCAUUUUUCUUUAAAACAUAAAAACGAGUAUAAACUACUUUAGAUAGUUAAGAUGAAAGUCUGAUUACUCACAAUAGCAGGAGUUUGGAGUACUCCUAUUCUUGGUCCUCGGGCACAAUAUCUUUAUCCUUAUCAAAGGACUCACCACCUAUACAUAAUACACGUCACGUAAUUCAAUAUAUUUGUGCUAAACUGUUAUAAAACUAUUUCAGGCUCUAUAUGAAUGCAUGACAAUGAAUGAGAAUUGUCCGAAUAAUCACUUAAAGACGGUGUUCUACGUGGGUUCAAUUAUGAUCAGACUGAAUUGGCAUUCAACCUAACUCGUACUAUGCCUUAUUUAAUUAGCCAAAACAUCCAAUUCAACUCCAAAUAUCUUCAUUACACUUCCAAUAUUCCAAAUACACCAAAGCACCUCAAUGAGCUUAAUUGUGACUUAAUUCACUGUAACCGAAAUUCAUUCCGAUUUUGAUAUCCAACAUUAUAAUUCAUCAAAUCCUAGCUAAAUAACAUGAAUUACAACCAAAUCCAUCAUCAACAUGCUCUAUAAAAAAUUUGGCCAAAUGAGGGUUAUUGAAGAACAUGUGAUUUUCUUGCUUGUUUUUCCUUCCAAACAUCACAAAAUGACUAAAAACACUAGGAUAUUAUGAAAUCUAGCAAAAUUCAUUACCAAAACUUCUCUCUCUAGAUUUGGCCAGCAAAGGUUCCCUCUUGAAAACUUGAAUUUCAGCCAUGGAGAAUGAAAAAGAAUUCAUGGGAAAGGUAGAUCACAAGCUAAAAUUAAAAAAUCUUACCUUUACUUGCUUGAUUUCUUGAAAUCCAACAAUUUCUCUUGAAUUUUUCUUUCCUAGGGUUUGUGCUUCUCUUUUUCUCUUUAUUCCCUUGCUUGGCAGGCCGUAUGAGUGAUUUGGGAGGAGUGUCUGCUGGUUUUUUAAAGGGAAUUAUUAAAGGAUUAAAAUUUGCCACGUGUCACCAUGUAAUUGGUCCAAGAUUAAAAACUUAACCAUUAAGCAAUUUCUCACAACCACAUGUAAUCCCAUAAUUAUCCAAAGUAUAAAGUGAUAAUAGGUGAAAUUCAUGGGCUUGACAAGUGUCAUGGUGCUGUAAAAUUUCAAUUACGCCCUCAUGGACACGUGAAAUGACCGUUUUGCCCUUAUACUCCAAAAAUGUCGAAAUUGAAAUUUUUCACUCCACAAUUUCAAAUUAUGCUCCAAAUAGUCAAACUUGGUCAAAAAUUUCAUCCAACAUUCCAAUUUUGCCCUUGGGUGGCAAAAUAACCAUUUUGCCCUUAUGUUAUGAAAAUUCUCGAUUGGACUCCAAAUCAAUCCUUGAACUUCGAAUCACCAUAUUAAGACAUUCUAAGAUUCAAUAACUCUAAAAUACAUCAUAAAAUCUUUAUUUGGACUAGUUCGAGGCUUUAAUCAACUUAAUUGUACCAUUAGGUACAAUACCACCUUUUAACGAUUUUUCGAUACAUUCACUUAUGCAAACAUUCUUUCAAGUACAUGAAUGACAUGACAAGUAUAUAAUAGAGUAGGGCUUGAUAGCACUACACCCCUUAAAAUAAAAUUUUGACAUCAAAAUUUCACUAACCAGACUCAGAGAAAAAAUGCGGGUAUUGGUUUCUCAUCUGGUAAUCAAAUUCCCACAUCAUCUCCUCCAUCUGAGCAUUUUUCAACAACACCUUAACUAUUGUAAUGUUCUUAUUCCUUAACACUCGAUCCUUUCGGUCUAAAAUACGUACAGGUUGCACCUAGAACUUUAAAUCUUCUUGUAACUCAAUCGGAGGUACCUCAAGGAUAUGGGAGGGAUCAGGUACAUACUUCUUCAGCAUUGAGACGUGGAAAACAUUGUGAAUUCGAUCCAACUCUGGUGGUAAUUCUAUUAUAUAUUAUCACUAGCCCAAUCCUUUCAAUGAUACGAAAAGGGUCCAAUGUAUCUUGGAUUGAGCUUUCCUCGUUUUACAAACUGGAUCACACCUUUCAUUAUCCAACAAGAUACCACGAUUUAUGACAAUAAUAUUAUCAAAUAAAACUUAAUACCUCAAAGUAUUCAAAUCAUUACCUUUCCAAGGAGAGACCUUAAGAAAAACUUUAUCAUCAACUUUAAAUUCCAAAUCUUUCCUUCGUCUAUCCGAGUAACUUUUCUGCCUGUUUUGAGCUGUCUUUAAUCGCUUUGGGAUAACCUUGAUCUUGUCAUUAGUCAAAUCAAUCAGUUCUACAUUAAACAAUUUCCUGUCACCCACUUCAUCCCAACAGAGUGGAGUUCAAUACUUUCUUCCGUACAGAGCCUCAUAUAGGGCCAUCCUGAUACUAGACUGAAAACUGUUAUUAUACGUGAACUCCACCAAUGGCAAGUGUCUGUCCCAACUCCCAGUAAAAUCAAUGACACAAGCCUAUAGCAUAUCCUCCAAAGUCUGAAUGGUCCUUUUAGAUUGUUCAUUUGUCUGUGAAUGAAAGGCAGUGUUAAACCUCAAAUUAGUUCCGAGAGCCUCUUGGAAUUUUGGCCAAAAUCGAGAAGUGAACCGUGGGUCUCGAUCUAACACGAUAGAAACUGGGACUCCAUGUAAUCUCACUAUCUCAUCUACAUAAAACUUAGCUAGUUUCUCAAUGAAAUACGUGUUAUGGAUAGCCAAGAAAUGGGCGGACUUAGUAAUCUAUCCACAAUCACCCAAAUAGCAUCCUUCCCACUCUGCGUCCACAGUAAACCCAAUAUAAAGUCCAUAGUCACGUGCUUCCACUUCCAUUCAGGGAUAGGUAGAGGUUGAAGAGUACCCAAUGGUUUUUGAUGUUCCGCCUUGAUUUGUUGGCAUGUGAGACAUUUCGUCACAAACUCGAUUAUGUCUCGUUUCAUACCCGACCACUAGUAACUUUCAUCAUCUUAUCAACUAUACAGCUCAUUAAACACGUCGAAUUCAAAACUCAAAUUACCAUGAAUAAUUCUCCACUUUAGUUGAUCACAUAAUCAUCGCCAUAUAUAUAUAUAUAUGUAUGUCCAUAUACAUUUAAGUGCCAUCAUCCGUCACUAUCGAUAAGGACCCUCGUCAACUACGUUCGAACUAAAUUGCCUCUAUUCAUUCUAAUCCAUAACUCGUUCAAUGUCAUAUUUUCAUAGCACAUGUUUCCCCUUUUUACUUUUCUAUUUUAUUCCCAUAGGUCAAGUUUAAUCCAUGAAUAUUAGGGUAUAAUCAACUCCAAAUUACCCUUUUGGAUGUUUGAGUACCAUUUAAUUUACAUCUUACCAUAAAUUGUUUCUUAUGUAAUUCAUACGGAUUCUCAUUGUGCCUAUGCAUAACUUCACAUAAUUUACAUGCUUAUACUCUUUUCUUAUCAUCUCAAUCCUAUGUACAAGCUCCAUCAUACCACGCAUCCUUGCAUCACAAUAUCAUUAACCACAUUUCAAUCAUUAAAUAUCAUUUUCAUCCAAUCACAAUUCGGGAUGCACAUAUGCUUUAGCUUUACGAUUUUAUUGAUCCUUCAAAGGUUUUCUUUAAUUCAUCCUUGCAUCUUAUGCAAUAUCAAAACUCCUAAAAGUCAUCUUCGUUUCUCAUUUACCUUGUAUACUUCCAUCAUAUAUGUCCUUAUUCAUUUCCAUGUUAGUUAAUCACUUAAGAUUUAAAUUCAUUGAAGUCGUGUGCACUUCUUACAUUUUGAAUACUAGUAUCCCUCGUUAGGAAAUUUUCAUUAACUAACUUCAUUAUUAGGAUUACCUUCAAUCAUCUUGUACUAUUUCUUUACACCAAUAUACUCAUACGUUCUCUUUAGCGUCUGCAUAAUCAACUCUGAUAUUUAUAAACUUAAUAUAGAUUUUACUGAGGUAUCCCUCGACAUCAUCGCCAAUAUCUAAUUUCAACCUCACAUCGAGCGACCUCAUAACUUAUGCUUUAACCAUUAAGCUCCUUGACAAUUCCAAGUUCCACAUUUCCUUAUCAUAUAUAUAAAAUAUUUUAAAGCACUACUAACCAUUAUUCUUGACACUUUCAGUUCGGUCUAUUCGUUUCAAAACUCUUAUACAUUGCCAAUAUAUAAGUCAACAAAGAAACUUUCCAAUUCAUUCAUAUCAAUACCUUCCAAAACCUUAAAACUCUAAUUAACGAAGCUUAACAUCAAGUCCAAUAACCUUAAUUCAACUCGUAAGUUCAACUUCCCGUCUUUCACCUCUUAUUCCUACGUCCCAGAUAUGAGGUGUUUCUAGCGCGGCGGCACGGUGGCUGCUGAAGUUUACUUAAUCAACGCUAUUCGUCUAAAUUUAAGGUUACUAUAUUAAUCAUCCUCAACUGUUUGGUUUUCCUCCAAGCUUAUGUCGUAAUUUUCCAUAACUAUUUUAUUCUCUUGUGCUUAUCACAUAUAAUAGACCAAGCCAAUAUUUUCAAAUUCAUCUCAUUCUUUAACACUUGUCAACAUCCAUUACCACAGGUAAGAAUCCCUUAUUACUUUCCUCAAUUUCGACAUAUCUCAAAUUGUACACCACUUAUCGUCGAGAUCUUGGCUUUACUCUCCAGUCUUUUUAACCAAUUACAUUUAUAAAGUGAAUAAUUUACUAAAUUAUUGCAUCUCGCCUUUGCGGUCAUAAGAUCAAAGUUUCUUAAGCUUAAGAUGCAGAACCUUCUUCUUAGAGCAUAUCCAAAAAUCAACAUUUCCUGAAUCUGUUACCUUUGAAGAAAUCAAAUUUAAGACUAAUCAUUUGCACCAUAGUUUGCAUACUAAUCCGAUUAGACUUUUAAAUUGAUCCUUAAAAUAAUUUGUAUAUCAAGCUUCAAUAUAAAUCUCCAUAUGGCAUUUAGACUAGAAUCAACAUUUUCAAGUCAUUUAAUUUCAAACAACUAAAUCCAUAUCUAGUCCUUUAAUCCUUUGGCUCCACACUAAGCAUAGCAAAAUUCAAGCUCAUCCUUAGAGUAGAUCAAUAGAGAAUUCGAGUUCUCGAUCAGGAGGUAGUCUCGGUAAUUCAUCCGAAAAUACAUCAAAGAACUCAUUUACUAUUGGGACAUCCUCUAACUUAGAUUCCCCCUUUGAUGUAUCAAUCACAUGUGCUAAAUAAGUCGGAUACCCUUUCUGCAUUAGUUUCAAAGCUUUGAUAGCCGAAAUUACACAGGAUGGUAAUACUCGACGUUUCCCUGCAAAUACAACUUCUACUCCUUCAGAAUUCUGAAGUACAACUUCCUUCCUAAAACAAUCUACAUUUGUCCGAUGUGCAGUCAACCAAUCCAUACCCAAUAUGAAAUCAAAAUCUCAGAUUUCUAGGGGAAUUAAGUCAACCCUGAAUUUUUCCUCACCAACUCUUAUUCCACAGUCUCUAUAUAACAUGUGUUUCUAACCAACUGCCCUCAUAGAGGGGUAUGAACUAUAAUUUCUUCCUCUAAAAGUGACAGGUUUCUAUCAGAAAAGGAUGCGAAUGUCGUGCUCACAUAAGAUCUAUCCGAAUAAGAAUCAAUUAAGACAUAAGCAUCUCUGUCAAAUACAGAUAUGGUACUUGUCACUACACUGGGUCGGACUCAUGCCUCUUCCUCUCCCGAUCGAUCUAGCGAGAGGUGGGAGUUCACGUCGAGGAGGCAUGAUAAUUUAGAAGAAGAAACAAAAUGAGUUUAUACAACUUCAGGUUCUAUAUGUAGAUGCAUGCAUUCAACUUAAUCUAACCUAACUUGGGGUCACACUGACACUAUAGUUUUUAAAAUAAUUUUAAAACCAAAAGCUCUGAUACCAAUAGAAAUGUCACGACCCGGUACUCCCUUCGAGCCCGUGACAUCCAUCGCGAUGUCUCGAUAGACAUUCAUUACACGAAAUGUCAACCGAAACCUCGCAAGGCUCUUGCAUCAGUUUUACAUCUCCCAUGUGAGCAAUAGUUACUAAAUAUCAUGUUUUAAGGGAACAUAAACUAUUUUUAAAUCAAAACAAAUAAAAAAAUAAUUUCUGCCACACAGGGAUAUUUUGGUCAUUUUUACUCAAAAAUUUUGAAACCUGGUCAAAAUACAACAUACGAUCGUAAAAUAUACAUUUCUUAUCUAAAAAUAAUUUUCGUAAUCUAAAUCAUUCAUUUAAAAUAAAAUUUGGCUAAUCAAACUAAAUAAAAAUAUUAAAUAAAAUAUUCAAUUUUCUUAUAAGAUAAUAUUUAUAGAAUUCUGCGUAAAUAAUUUUUGUAGCGUAAAAGCAAAAUAAAUUCAUACAUACAAUGGCACACGCAGCCAGGUAUACAAAUAUUCUACAAUGACACGUGGGCCCCCAAAAUAAACAUAUAUGUACAAGACUAUAGACCUACGAUUUCUAAGGGUACAAACCCAAAAGCAAACCCUCGACAUAAUCAGCAGUCUAUAGAUUGUCCUGAGUCUGAAAUGGGUGAAAAGAAGGGGUGAGUUUUUAUAAACCCAGUGAAUUAGCAAAUUUCAUCUAAAACAUCGAAAGCCGAGUAAAUGGAGACAAUUUAAAAUAUCUCAUCAUAAUAUGAUUCAUAACAUCGAAUCUCAUUUCAUUUCAUAUAAAUCAAUUUCAUUUCAUAAAAAUCAACAAGACUUAUGAUUCUCGUAAAAACUUGGUUCGUGCCAAAAACUUGCACUCGGUGACACCUUGCGCCGGGGCAUCCAACCGAGUCCACCAAGGCUGUUAAAAUAACAUAUGAGUAUAAAACUCAUUUUCAUUUUUUUUUACAUUUAAAAGCAUAGCCAUUCCUUAGCGUUGGCUGAGUUUCACCUUCACGUGGUGGUUUGGUGUGAAGUGAACUCUAACGUUACCUUAGAAGAUACCCUCCGUGCCUCUCAUACUAAGGUAAAAUAUAACGGGGUUUACCGUUCUCCUCUAAUAAGCUGGUUCACGGAAACCCGCCCAUUGCAGUAAGCUAAUCAAAUAACCCACCAAUUCAAUAAAAUUUUCGACAGCAUGACAUGGCUAAUAUAAUAUUACCAGCCUAUCAAGACAAAGCAAAACAGUUCAUAUAUUCCACACAAACACAAAUCCAGCCAUGCUUGCCAUCACAUUGUCAUAAGCCAUCAAUUCAAACCAUAUGUCAAAACAUAUAUAUAACACAAGUAUACAGUCUCCACUUACUCAAUUUCCAAAACUAGUAUUCAAUUUCAAAACGAGUUAUAAAUCUCAUUUCGUUUAAUCAACACUUCAAUUAUAAAACAUAAUAGUUUACAAUUUAAAUUCAUUUUUCUUUAAAACAUAAAAACGAGUAUAAACUAUUUUAGAUAGUUAAGAUGAAAGUCUGAUUACUCACAAUAGCAAGAGUUUGGAGUACUCCUAUUCUUGGUCCUCGGGCACAAUAUCUUUACCCUUAUCAAAGGGCUCACCACCUAUACAUAAUACACGUCACGUAAUUCAAUAUAUUUGUGCCAAACUGUUAUAAAACUAUUUCAGGCUCUAUAUGAAUGCAUGACAAUGAAUGAGAAUUGUCCGAAUAAUCACUUAAAGACGGUGUUCUACGUGGGUUCAAUUAUGAUCAGACUGAAUUGGCAUUCAACCUAACUCGUACUAUGCCUUGUUUAAUUAGCCAAAACAUCCAAUUCAACUCAAAAUAUCUUCAUUACACUUCCAAUAUUCCAAAUACACCAAAGCACCUCAAUGAGCUUAAUUGUGACUUAAUUCACUGUAACCGAAAUUGAUUACGAUUUCGAUACCCAACAUUAUAAUUCAUAAAAUCCUAGCUAAAUAAUAUGAAUUACAACCAAAUUCAUCAUCAACAUGCCCUAUAGAAAAUUUGGCCAAAUGAGGGUUAUUGAAGAACAUGUGAUUUUCUUGCUUGUUUUUCCUUCCAAACAUCACAAAAUGACUAAAACACUAGGAUAUUAUGAAAUCUAGCAAAAUUCAUCACCAAAACUUCUCUCUCUAGAUUUGGCCAGCAAAGGUUCCCUCUUGACAACUUGAAUUUCAGCCAUGGAGAAUGAAAGAGAAUUCAUGGGAAAGGUAGAUCACAAGCUAAAAUUAAAAAAUCUUACCUUUACUUGCUUGAUUCCUUGAAAUACAAUAAUUUCUCUUGAAUUUUUCUUUCCUAGGGUUUGUUCUUCUCUUUUUCUCUUUAUUCCCUUGCUUGCCUGGCCAUAAGAGUGAUUUGGUAGGAGUGUGUGCUGGUUUUUUAAAAGGAAUUAUAAAAGGAUUAAAAUUUACCACGUGUCACCAAGUAAUUGGUCCAAGAUUAAAAACUUAACCAUUAAGCAAUUUCUCACCACCACAUGUAAUCCCAUAAUUAUCCAAAGUAUAAAGUAAUAAUAGGUAAAAUUCAUGGGCUUAACAAGUGUCAUGGUGGUGUAAAAUUUCAAUUACAUCCUCAUGGACACGUGAAAUGACCGUUUUACCCUUAUACUCGAAAAAUUUCAAAAUUGAAAAUUUUCACUCCACAAUUUCAAAUUAUGCUCAAAAUAGUCAAACUUGGUCAAAAAUCCUGUCCAACAUUCCAAUUUUGCCCUUGGGUGGCAAAAUGACCAUUUUGCCCCUAUGUUAUGAAUAUUUUUGAUUGGACUCUAAAUUAAUCCUCGAACUCCAAAUCACCAUAUUAAAACAUUCUAAAAUUCAAUAACUCUCAAAUACAUCGUAAAAUCUUUAUUUGGCCUUGUUCGAGGCUUUAAUCAACUUAAUUGUACCACUAGGUACAAUACCGACUUUUAACGAUUUUUCGAUACAUUCACUUAUGCAAACAAUCUAUCAAGCACAUGAAUGACACGGCAAGUAUAUAUAAUAGAGUAGGGCUUGACAUUACAAGUGAAUAUAAGUUCCUACCUUUAUACUUGAUGAUGAGUAUGAUGAAUGAGUAUUAUUAAAAGAAUACGAUUCAUGGUAAAUUAGUACCCACAUUGUUGGUAUGGACAAGUAUAAGAAAUGAAUGCUUAAAUAGAGGUAAAUGUUCCCAUCCUUAAGCUUUUGAUAUGUUUUAUGUGGUACGGAUUUGAACAUUGAGAGACAUGAUUUACGGGAUAGGAUGUGAUGUAGUACCACAUACUUUAUAAGAUAUCCUUGUUUAUGAGUAUGGGUUAUAGAGCAAUAUAUGCAUGAUAUGUUGAUGAUGUAUGUAUGUAUAUGAGAUAUUUUAUACGAUAAUUAAAACCCAAAUAUGGGGGAAAAAAUGCCACAUGAAUAAAGCCCAAAUGUGAAGGUAAGAAUACCACAAGAAUAAGGCCCAAACGUAGGGGAAAGAAUACCACACGAAUAAGGCCCAGAUGUGAAGGUAAAAUAUCACCUAUGUUAGAGCAAUUCCUACAUGUGGUGAGGUAAAAUUCCAUUACACGGUGGCGACGCUCUGUGUGAGAAACGCCUAUGUGCCACUCACGAUCCCAAACAUAGGGAGCCCAGAUGUGGGCUAGGACUUUAUAGGCAUCCUUGCAUUCAUGAUUAUUGCAUAUUACUCUUGUAUUGUGAUGUUUCUUGUAAUUGUUUCUUAUGCUUGAAGUGUUGGACUGAGUUACAGAUUAAACACUAAGUUAUAAGAUAGUCAAGAAAGGUUAUUCAUUAGAAUGAGUCCUAAUGCAUUGGUUGAGUUUAUGGAUUAUAAAGAAAGAAUGGUCACUUGAGUUUUAUGGAUUGAAAAUGAUAAUUUGGAACGAUGUUUACUUGAGUUAUAUGAUCAAAAGAUGAUCACAAAGUGUUAAUAUUAAAUCCUAUUUGGAUAAUCUUGAGUACAUGGUCAACCCACAUGCUUUAUGAAAAGUUUGAAGGAAAUCACCCAUGGCUUGGGCUUAUAUGGUUAAGUAAAAACAAUCUUAUACAACAGGUAAGGCACAACUUCCUUGUUUUUCUUAAAGGGUUUUUCAUAAAUGUUCAACUUGUUCAAUGAGCUACAUGUUCAUGAAAUGUUGAUUUUACUAUGAAAAUGAGACUCGUUUAUGACAACUCUAGUUUAUGAGAAAAUUGAAACUGAAGAAUGUUUAUCUUAAGUUCAUGUUUACAUAAACGAUGUAAUUUGUGCAUAACUUCUCCCCUUUUACCUGUCCCUUUACCUAUUCACUCACGGAGUCUUUGUGAUUGACACAUUAUUUUUCUCAUAUAUUUUUGUUGCAGAUCAGUGAUAGCUCGUCAACCACUCGAGUCACGGAGAUGUGAUCCAUUUUUUCUUUUUGAUAAGUGGUAUAGUAUCCUUUUUGAGGCUUAAAGAGUUAGGUCAUGUACCGUUUGACAAGUCAGUCUUUAUUAAUUAAUUAUGUUAUGACAUUGUUGGGUAUUGUUGUGAUGAUGUAGCCACGUUAUGGCAUUAUACUUGGUACUGAUGUUAUAUAUGCAUAUUUAUAUAUGAAUUGAACAUGAUGGCUCGAGAGUCUAUGUGAGCACAACAAAUGUGCAUAGGAAUGUUAUAUGUAAGGAUACAUGGACCCACAUUGGAUUAUGAAGUAUAUGAUAAUGGAAAUGUUCAUGAGCACGUUGAUGGCGAAAUCUAUAACGAUGCAAUUUAUGCAUGUGUUUGUAGGAUAAUUGAUAUAUGAUGAUUAAUGGUUAUGUAUAAUGACCUUAGGCUUGCUUGGGUCUAGCUGGUUAUACCCGUUUAGGUUUUUGUUCCCGUCACAAGCCAUCUAAAAAAUGAGAUGUGAUAAAAUUGGUAUCAGAACAGGGUCGCCCUUUGGGUAUGGCCAUCCAAGCAAGGGCUUUAGGCCUCAAAUUUCGAGAAACCUCAUAUUUUUAUAAUAAUAAUAUAAUUAAUUAUAUUUAAAAUAUAUAAAAAUUAAGAUAGUUAAUAAAAUAUUUAUCUAGUCUUUCAUGUCUAAUAAAUAUUUAUUUUCUCCCACUUCCACAUCCUUAUUAAUUCUAAACUUAUUAUCUCAUUUUUUGUUAAAAAUAUAUAAAAAAAAAAUUAAUAAAAGGAUAUAUUCUCUCACUUAUCUAAUUAUGUACUUAAUAAAUCUCAAGUUUUUAUCACUUCCGAAUUCCUACAAUGCUAUUAAUUCUCAACUAUUUUUUCUAUUUCUAAUCAAUUAAUGGUAAUAUGUAUUUAAUCAUUUCCAACAGUUAUUUUUUUUCUCACUUAUUUCUUCUAUUUCCAAUCAACUAACCUUAAGAUGUAUUUAAUGAUUUCCAACAAUUUAUUUUAUUUCCAAUAUAUAAAACCAACUAUCAUUUUUUUUCAAUUUAUAAUAUCCAUUUUUGAAUUUUUCUUCCCUCAUUUGUUCUUUUUUCCUUUAACUUCAAUUUUCCUUCAAUAAAUACGCAGGAAAUCUGUUAUGCUAUUAUCUUCAUAAAGCCAUGAGUUUCAUUUACGAUUUGCAAUAAGCAUUCAAUAAUUAGAUACUAUUAUUCUAAUCUUUGUAGACUUUUUUACUUUAAUUUAGAGUUUAUAUUAUAUUGUUAUAUUGUCUUUAUUUUAUGUGAUAGUUAAUUUAUUUGAAUUAAAAAUUUUGAUUGUUGAUUUUAUAUUAAUCGUUUAAAAAAUGUAAAAUAAUUAUAAAAGCUAAAUAUUUUUUAUACUUCAUAAUAAAUAUUUGAAUAUGUUAAAUGGAAAAUAUGAAUUUGGUUAUUCAAAGCUUAACAAUUUUUUUUUUAAUUUUAAUAAAAACAUCUCAUUUGAAUAUUUUACUUUAAGCCUUUGAGGUUAUUGAGUUGCCCUUGUAUUAGAGCUCUAAGUUGUAAAGUCCUGGGAUCACCUUGUUAUUUGUCAAGUGGAACAUUGAAGUUGUGUGUAAGAAUCUUAUUUUUUUUUGUGUACCUGAGCACAAAUUGAAAAUGGGAGACCCACAUAUGAUUGCUUGUGAGUUUAUCUAUCCAAGUUAGAUUUAAGUGUUAUGUUUAGUAUUGAUAUGAGUCCUUCGAAAUGAGUAUUGUAUUAUGUGAUCGUUAUUGUUUUGUGAUUAUGCCGCCUAGACCUUGAGCGGUUUCUAGACACGUAUGUAGUAGAGCAAAAGAUUCUCACAGAUGUUAUGACUAGGCCAUGUACACCCACUAUCAGGGGUUGUGGCAUACACGAUGGAGCUGGAAACUCACGCAAUGUUAAAUUAUUUCUUAUAAAGACAUCUUACGUCCAAAUUGAUACAACAUUCAAAAUUUUAUCUUAAAAAAGAGUAAUUAGAGUUUUUGAAUUCUUUAAAUUCUUUUCUUUGGUUCUUAGUACAAAAUUUUGAAUUAAAAAUUUCAUUAAAUGAUGUUUAUAAAACAUUGAUACAACCAAAUUGACAUUGAAACCAGUUGAAUACCAGUGAAAACAUUUCUUGCAUUUAAAGUUUUGGGCUGAAAUUGUGAACAGUUACUCCAAUAUUUUGUAUAUAUUAAGAAAAGCCAUUGGCACAUAUUUGUUAAAGCUAUGGGCGUAGAUACACUAAUAUAAGAGGAAAUUGUGAGAAAUAACCUUCCUCAUAAGCCCAAUUCAAAAAUAUCAUUUUUUUAUAAUUUUAACUAUUUUUGGUCAAUUUUUUAUAUGACUUGACAAUAAUACCCUUUAAACAAUUUCAGACAAAUUAAAAUAAUUUCAAUUUUCUCUCUCUCGCCAUCCAGAUAAAAAUUUCAAAAUUAAAUCUCAAUUUAUCUCUUUGCUCAAAUAUGUCUAUCUCGUUAUCCAAUUCACAGAUAUGACAUCAAGCUCUUUCUUAUUUUGUUUUAUUUUUUUGGAUGGUGGAUCUUGGGGUUCUUAAGGGCGAUGAACAACGAUUUUGCUCUUUACAGGUAGUGAUUUUGCUCAGGGAGAAAGAACAGCUAAAGCAUGUUUGAUGAGUUUUAUGGUGGUUCAUGAUUUUUGUCAAACCCUGUUCUAUAAAAUAAUUACGACGUCAUUUACAUGCUCAAUAGAAUGUUUGCAUAUUUAGGAAGUUCGAGGAAUCGUUAAAAGACGAUAUUGCCCAUAAUGGUACCAUUGAGUCGAUUAAGUCUCGAACUAGUUCAAAUAGGAAUUUUAAGGUGAAAUUAAGAGUUUCACAGUUCAGGGAUGACUCAAAAUGGUGAUUCAGAGUUCGAGGAUCAAUUCGGAGUCAAACCGAAAUUUUCACUAUCUAGGGGCAAAAUCGUAAUUUUUCUAAUCGUGGACAAAAUUUGAGAUUUUGAGAGAAUUUAGAUCACAUUUGACAAAUUGGAGAAUGGUAUGAGUAUAAGGGAUGAAAAAUAUGUCUAUGGGCAAUUUUUUAAUUUUUGGGGUAAAAAUGUAAUUUUCACUUUACGGGGGAAAAGUGUAAUUUUUAAAAAUUUGCUCCACCAAAACUUUGGAAAAGUCUAGAAAUUUCAUGGAAGACAUAGAUAAGUGAAGAGGAUUGAGUGGUAGAAAAAGAAAGUCAAAAAGAUGGCUAGAAAAAAAUAAAAUAAUAAAAUAUUCUAAAAGUAAAUAAAAUAAGAAUAUUUUAUUAAGCCUAUUAAAAGGCUUGAAAAUUCCAGAAUUCUUCAUUGGGAUGGUCAGCCAAAACCAGCAGGAGAGAGAGAGAAAUAAGAACAAACCCUAGAGUGAGAAAAUUCAAAGAAAAAGUGUGAUUUUUCAAGGAAUCAAGUGUCUAAAGGUAUGAUUUUUCAAGCUUAGCUUAAGAUUUAUCAUUUCCAUGCAUUUNNNNNNNNNNNNNNNNNNNNNNNNNNNNNNNNNNNNNNNNNNNNNNNNNNNNNNNNNNNNNNNNNNNNNNNNNNNNNNNNNNNNNNNNNNNNNNNNNNNNNNNNNNNNNNNNNNNNNNNNNNNNNNNNNNNNNNNNNNNNNNNNNNNNNNNNNNNNNNNNNNNNNNNNNNNNNNNNNNNNNNNNNNNNNNNNNNNNNNNNNNNNNNNNNNNNNNNNNNNNNNNNNNNNNNNNNNNNNNNNNNNNNNNNNNNNNNNNNNNNNNNNNNNNNNNNNNNNNNNNNNNNNNNNNNNNNNNNNNNNNNNNNNNNNNNNNNNNNNNNNNNNNNNNNNNNNNNNNNNNNNNNNNNNNNNNNNNNNNNNNNNNNNNNNNNNNNNNNNNNNNNNNNNNNNNNNNNNNNNNNNNNNNNNNNNNNNNNNNNNNNNNNNNNNNNNNNNNNNNNNNNNNNNNNNNNNNNNNNNNNNNNNNNNNNNNNNNNNNNNNNNNNNNNNNNNNNNNNNNNNNNNNNNNNNNNNNNNNNNNNNNNNNNNNNNNNNNNNNNNNNNNNNNNNNNNNNNNNNNNNNNNNNNNNNNNNNNNNNNNNNNNNNNNNNNNNNNNNNNNNNNNNNNNNNNNNNNNNNNNNNNNNNNNNNNNNNNNNNNNNNNNNNNNNNNNNNNNNNNNNNNNNNNNNNNNNNNNNNNNNNNNNNNNNNNNNNNNNNNNNNNNNNNNNNNNNNNNNNNNNNNNNNNNNNNNNNNNNNNNNNNNNNNNNNNNNNNNNNNNNNNNNNNNNNNNNNNNNNNNNNNNNNNNNNNNNNNNNNNNNNNNNNNNNNNNNNNNNNNNNNNNNNNNNNNNNNNNNNNNNNNNNNNNNNNNNNNNNNNNNNNNNNNNNNNNNNNNNNNNNNNNNNNNNNNNNNNNNNNNNNNNNNNNNNNNNNNNNNNNNNNNNNNNNNNNNNNNNNNNNNNNNNNNNNNNNNNNNNNNNNNNNNNNNNNNNNNNNNNNNNNNNNNNNNNNNNNNNNNNNNNNNNNNNNNNNNNNNNNNNNNNNNNNNNNNNNNNNNNNNNNNNNNNNNNNNNNNNNNNNNNNNNNNNNNNNNNNNNNNNNNNNNNNNNNNNNNNNNNNNNNNNNNNNNNNNNNNNNNNNNNNNNNNNNNNNNNNNNNNNNNNNNNNNNNNNNNNNNNNNNNNNNNNNNNNNNNNNNNNNNNNNNNNNNNNNNNNNNNNNNNNNNNNNNNNNNNNNNNNNNNNNNNNNNNNNNNNNNNNNNNNNNNNNNNNNNNNNNNNNNNNNNNNNNNNNNNNNNNNNNNNNNNNNNNNNNNNNNNNNNNNNNNNNNNNNNNNNNNNNNNNNNNNNNNNNNNNNNNNNNNNNNNNNNNNNNNNNNNNNNNNNNNNNNNNNNNNNNNNNNNNNNNNNNNNNNNNNNNNNNNNNNNNNNNNNNNNNNNNNNNNNNNNNNNNNNNNNNNNNNNNNNNNNNNNNNNNNNNNNNNUACAAAAGUUAUUUUAGGAAGACUUUGAAAAUAUUGUGUUUUAAGAAAAUAGAAUAUUUUAUUUAAUGUUUUUAUUAUAUUCAAAUAGCUAUAAUUUUACUUUAAACGAAUGUUUUAGACUUCAAAAUUUAAUUUAAAUCAUGAAAUAUGUGUUUCCACUUACAUAUUACAUUUUUUCGGAUUUCGAAAUUUAAAAAAAAAAAAUAACGAAAAUGCCCCAGUGAGCUAGAAAAUAAUAUUUUUAUUGUUUUGAGUUGGAAACAACUUAUGAUUUCUUGAAAUGCGAGAUUUAAUAACUGUCGCUCACCGGGGAGAUGCGGAAGUUGAUGCUAAGCCUUGCGGGGUUUCGAUCGGCAUUCGGGGUAAUGAGUGCUUAUCGGGACGUCGCGGCGGUUGUCACGGGCCCGAUGAGAGUUUCGGGUCGUGACAAUUUUAUUGUGUUUGGGAUUGGGAUGAUUGUUAAGCAUGUUUACUAGGGAUUUUGAAUUUUUUAUGGGAUUUUGAGUUGAAAUUGUUCAGGGAAUAUUUUGUAAAAAGGGUAUAUUUUGUUUUUAUAUAAGGGGAAUGAGCAAGACCUCUCGAUAGGGAUAUAUUUUCUCUUGCUUUAGAAGGUUAUGGAGUUUUGUAACCUAUCUUUUAUGAAAUGCAUAAUUUCAUGGCUUAGAAAAAAAAAAUGUGUUUUAGGUUCUUGAGUUUAUUGGUUUAUUCAUAGAAUCCAAAAUUGAGUUUACUGGCUUUUAGGUGUUGCGUGACUUAAUCAUCGUGUGACUAGUUUUUAGUCAUUACAUGAUUGGUUUUAGGCAUUACGUGACUAUUUUUUAUACAUUGCGUGACUGAUUUUUAAGCAAUGCGUAAAGCACACAAUGCCUUACUAACAAGUCACGCAAUGCCUAUCAACUAGUCAUGCAAUGCCUUAUCAGAAACUAGUCACGUAAUGCCUUAUCAAAAACUAGUCACAUAAUGCCCAAAGUUAGUCACGGAAUGCUUAUCAACUAGUCACGCAAUGCCUUAUUAGAAACUAGUCAUGCAAUGCCUUAUCAAAAACUAGUCACGCAAUGUCCAAAGUCAGUCACGCAAUGCUUUACAAAAACUCAGUCACGUAAUGUCCAAAGUCAGUCACACAAUAUCCAAAGUCAGUCAUGUAAUACCUAAAAACUAGUCACAUAAUUUCCAAAAAUCACCAAAACUACUUAAUUCCAUUUAACAAGAUCAACAACUUCAAACGAUACACCAUAUUCCAUUUAACAAAAUAAUUAACAAAUAUGAAUGCUCAAAAUGUUCGAAAGUUUUUCUUCAUACAUCAAAAAUCACUCUAAAAUGUUUAAAAAUACUCAAAAUGCUCACAGGUUUUCUUCGUGUAUUAAAAACUAUUCCAAAAUGUUCAAAAUACUUAAACGUUUUUCUUUCUGGUAAGGAAUACUCCAAAGAUGAAUAGUAUGGUGAGAAAAGCUCAAAAAAUAUGAGUCAAUUUGAGGAUCAACCUAAACAUACUUGACCUGUUAAUAGGUUUCGGGUUGAGGUGCGGAGCCUAACGAAUGGGUCGGUUUCAUUAAGGACAAUUUUGUUUAAUUUUUUUUCUCUUGGCUAAAAACAAAUAAAAUUAUAGGGAGAACUAUUCUUAAAAAUGCCUUAUGCCUCAUGCAUAUUUAUGAAAAGCACUCCUAAUAUAAUGUCUCAUAAUUCAUUAACAUUGUUCAUUUGUUACGGUUGAGAAUGGAUCACAAAGGCAUCAUUUCUCCUUUGGUCUUUCAGUUUGUUUCACUACUUUUUUUUUUGGGAUAAUUAAUAGUUUCUUACUUCCCACUAACACUGCUUAAGUAUGCAUGAAAAAUGCCAUAAGCAUUAAUUGUUUACACAACCACGCUCAACUUAUGUUUUUAAAAAAUUUCUAACUGCCCUUAUUUCUUAUAAAAAAAUACCUUUUUAUUAUUUUAUUUAAUUUUUUUAUGUAUAAAAUUUCAACACAAUACUUUGACCCCAAAAUCUAACCCAACGAAUAUAUAGCAUGUAUAAUUUGUCAUUUAUUAUUUUACAACUACAAAUUAAUAUGUAUUUCCCUUUUAUUUUAAUCAUGCCCUCUUAAAAUUAUGCUGCUAAAUGUCUCAAUUGGACGCUAUCUUUAUAUAUUUAAAUAGCAUUAUUAUAUUUUUACGUACACUAUGUAACAUUUCAAUAGCAUUUCAAGUCGAAGAGUAAAAAAAAAAGGGUGAAUCAACAAAGUGCCAAAUGUUAAAAAAAAAAAAGAAUACUAGAAAUUUUUAAUUUUUCAAGCAAUGAAUGCCUUUGUUUAAUCUUUCAAUCAUUUAUAAAAGUCAGUGGCAUAUUUUUUGAGAAUAAAGUAUGCGGUUUCAAAUGUAUUCAAUGAUUUGUUUUGAUCAUAGACAUGCCCAAAAAUGGUUCUGUAAUAGUUUAAAUAGCUAAUUUUGCAUAUAUGAAGUAUGAACUAUGAAUUGUACUUUAAUUGUGCAUUUGGUCCGUUAGAACCUAUAUUCAUUAUUCUUUUGGUAUAGGUUUGAUUAUGAGCUAAGUGUACACUGUUUCAUAGAUGUCACCUCUUUUCCUUAAGAUUUGAACUUGAGAAUCUAAUUUGAAGUUUUAUGUGAAGGUUGAAAUUAAUGGCAUUUGGUAUUCUUAGUGUAGUUUUAAACUUUAUUAUUUUCAAGAAAACAUGAAUGGAAUUCUAAUUGUUGUUUUUGCAAAGUAUAAAAUUAUGAAUUUUGAUUUUUUUGUGUUAAUUUAAUUUAAUUGACAUUUUAAGAAGUGUAAUCACUAAUGUAUGGUUUGUAACAUAUAAGGUGUGAGUAUAAUAUUGUGUUAAUUAUUUUAUUUAUACGUGUGAGUUAAUGUCAAAUUAAAUUAGUGACCAUAGUUAAUGUCGUAACGUGCGGGUUCGGGAACCCGAUCGCCAGACUCGUAUGUGAAAACUCACUAAAAAAUUAAACUAGGAGUCGCCACCAAUCUUUUUUACUAGGUGCAAUUGGCCACCUAUUGACUCGAUUCUAAUCAAUGAAAACUUAAAUUAAUUUUAAGCCCACCGAAAAGAACUUUAAACUGGUCUACAAUUUUUUAGAUCUAGGUUCGGGAGUACGGUUACGCCCGGAGAAGGAUUAGCACCCCCGGAACGCCCGUUCCAUGAACGGUACCAUUUUUAGAUUAUCCUAUUGGGCUUUAAUUUUUAAUUUCACUAUGUUUCCUUAAUUAUUAUUCACUUAUUUUUAUCUCCUAUUUGACCUAAAAUGGAAUGCAAAUACGAGGCAAGAUGCAUGGCGUGAAAAAAAAUACCGGACGAAUAACUUUUUAUCGAGGAUAUUUUCUCGAAUCCGCCCAUCAUACUGGUGGGACUUGGGGUAUUCUCUCACCUAGGAAAUUAUCCGAGAAAUUCACCUUCGCAAAUUUAACGAAUAAUUCCCAUCAUCGGAGUUAUCGUACGUUUUUCUUUAAAAAUAAUGUUUUCGUGCAUAGUAAACCUAAUUCGGGUAAAAGCCUUUUAUUAAAGAUGUUUCUCGAGCCCUCCCAUCAUACUGGUGGGACCCGGGAACACCUUUCACCUAAAGAACUUUUCGAGAAAUACUCGCCUUCGCAAGAUCCUCGAAAGAUCCUAUCAUCGGGGUUUAAACUCGAAAACAGAAAUAUUUAUAUGCAAUGAUAUGUAUGAUGCAAUAUAUAUAUAUAUAUAUGCAAUUAUCUAUAUUUUUUUAGUUAUUAUUAAUUAAUUAUUAUUUUUAUUUUAUUAUAUUUUUUUAUUAUCAUAUUUUCUAUUCUUAUUUCUUAUUAUUAUUUUUUUCAUACUUUACAUUUUUUGUUCUAANNNNNNNNNNNNNNNNNNNNNNNNNNNNNNNNNNNNNNNNNNNNNNNNNNNNNNNNNNNNNNNNNNNNNNNNNNNNNNNNNNNNNNNNNNNNNNNNNNNNNNNNNNNNNNNNNNNNNNNNNNNNNNNNNNNNNNNNNNNNNNNNNNNNNNNNNNNNNNNNNNNNNNNNNNNNNNNNNNNNNNNNNNNNNNNNNNNNNNNNNNNNNNNNNNNNNNNNNNNNNNNNNNNNNNNNNNNNNNNNNNNNNNNNNNNNNNNNNNNNNNNNNNNNNNNNNNNNNNNNNNNNNNNNNNNNNNNNNNNNNNNNNNNNNNNNNNNNNNNNNNNNNNNNNNNNNNNNNNNNNNNNNNNNNNNNNNNNNNNNNNNNNNNNNNNNNNNNNNNNNNNNNNNNNNNNNNNNNNNNNNNNNNNNNNNNNNNNNNNNNNNNNNNNNNNNNNNNNNNNNNNNNNNNNNNNNNNNNNNNNNNNNNNNNNNNNNNNNNNNNNNNNNNNNNNNNNNNNNNNNNNNNNNNNNNNNNNNNNNNNNNNNNNNNNNNNNNNNNNNNNNNNNNNNNNNNNNNNNNNNNNNNNNNNNNNNNNNNNNNNNNNNNNNNNNNNNNNNNNNNNNNNNNNNNNNNNNNNNNNNNNNNNNNNNNNNNNNNNNNNNNNNNNNNNNNNNNNNNNNNNNNNNNNNNNNNNNNNNNNNNNNNNNNNNNNNNNNNNNNNNNNNNNNNNNNNNNNNNNNNNNNNNNUAAACCCUUUUCCUUUUUUUUUUCUAAGUUUGCUAUUAUCUAUUACAUAAUUAAAUGUAUAGAUUCUUAUAUUUUUACUUUAUCCAAUUUCUUGUAUAUAAAGUUUUAAUUUCGUUUUUUCUAAAAAUAACUAAAAUAAGUAAAUAUAUAAAAUAAAUUUAAAAAAAAGAAAAAAGCAUUCACAAUAAGCAUAAAAGAUUCAAGCCCAAUAAUCGUAGAGCCCAGAACAUACCAAGGUCGGGCUUGGACUAGCCCAAAACUGAACCCACAGAUGCCCACAAUAGCUCCAGAAGCCCACUCCUCUUUCAGUCAAAACGCACCGUUUAGUGCCUUGCUUCAGCUGCCCUGUUGUGCGCCCAAACGACACCGUUUAGAAGGAUAGGCUAAGUUUGUUGAUGAGUCUCAAAAUGACGUCGUUUUGAACCUCCCAAACCCUAACUAUAAAUUCUUCUUUUUUUCUCCUCUCUCCAUUUUCUCUCUUUUGCCUCUCUUUCUAGCCGCUUAACUCUCUCUCUUCUCUCUACAAACCGCCGGCCAAACCAACGAUCAACUCUCUCCCAAACCGGUAAUGUCUUUCCUGCGCCGGUCGGCUGUCUCUUUCUUGGGACAGCUUGAACCUUUCUCCUCUCACUCUCAUUCCUUUCACCAACCACCUGAAAACUCUUCUUCUCUGUCGGCGCCAACCGUGCCACCAGAUCUGACCCCCUUAACACCGCUCGAUCCGAUCUCCAAAUCUCCUUUCACCGGUGGUCAAGAUCUCUCUCACUUUCCUUUCACUAGUGGUUGGUAAAACCCAAAAGCCCUAGCUCCCACUAAAUCGGAUCUCCCUCUCUUUCCUUUUUUCGGCGUCGGCCUCUCACCCUCUCUUUCUAUUCGCAUCGGCCACCGAAGCCUUUUUUACUUUCGUCGCCCAAAUCUGGCUUUUCUCCCCUCGCCGACACCACUCGAACCAAAACUCUCUCCUCUCUCUGCUUCUUCUUUUCACGGGCGGCGAGCCCAAAACCCAAGGCUUCCUAUCCUUUUUUGUGCAUAUGUGUGGUAUUUUUUGUUGUGUUGAUUCUGGCUGCUAGAAAAACUUAGGGUAUUUUUUUGAUUUGAUUGAUUUUUUUUUUUAUUUUUCGGUGAUUUUUUUUGUUGCUCUCGGUUGCUUAGAAAGCUUGCAGGUUGCUCUCCCGGUUUCCCUGAAUGCUACAGUGCCCCCUCCCCUUUAUACUCGGUUCCCGGGCUCUGGAGGGGGCACGCUCCACUACCUUGUUCCUGGGCAUUGGGGGGCACGUUCCACUACCCUGCCAGACGUGAAUUUUUUGCGUCUGGCAGGGUGAGGGAGGUGCACCCUGCCAGUCGUACCUCCCUCCCCUCUUUUUUCAUUUCUUCUUUAUUUUUUUUAUUUUUAUUAUUUUUAUUAUAUAUUUUUUUUAAUUCAUUUUUUUUGUUUAUGAUUUUAGUGUCUACAGUUAACCACCUUUUAAUUUGUAUUUAUAGUAAAAAAAUGAAAAAAAUUAAACCAAAUAUUCAUUAUUUAUAUGUAAUUUUUUUAUGACACUAAUCUAUCAAAUUUUUUUAUAAUUAGUAAGUAUCUAAUACCUUUUUCUUUUUUGUGGCAACCUGAAGAUUAUUUGAGGUUUGAUCAAUGAAAAAGGCAGAUUUAAAGCACAAUGGAGAUUUUAUUGGAUUCCAUGGAGUAUAAGCUGAUCGAAUUCAAUCAAAGGGAUGGAUAAAUUUGCCAAAAGAAGUUGAAUAGCCUGGGGUUGGGUGACAGUGCCUCAGAGUUGCAGGGUUUGUUUUUGUUUGCCUGCACUUUUGUUGAUUGAUCAUUUUGAAGGUAUAAAAGUAUAGCAUUUUUUUUUUAAAAAAAAAAGGAAGCUGAACAGCAAUUCUAAACUAAAAGUUCCAAAAAUAAAAGGCGGUCUCUCACAACAUAUUUUGAUUCAAAACGGAGAAAUGGGAAGGAGAGGGACUGGUAUUUUAAUUGCCAAGGAUGUGAAUGUUGGCAUCAAUACUCUAGUUUUUGAUUAACUACAAAUCUACUACCUUUUCUCGUGGGUGUUGGGCAGCCGCAGUCAAAUGACCCAAGUCCUGCCAUUCAUUUCAGGGUUGAAAAUUCUUUCCGCUACCAAAGAACUACUAUUCUCUAUUCAAAGAUUACGACUCGAAGCAGUUAAAGCUUUACGGAAGUAAGGAUCAGAUUGUAGACUUUGAAAGAUGGAGUCUUCUUUUCUAACUUCCAUUUCGCGCGCUAAUGCAUUCAAAUCACGUUUUACCGUUGUUUACAUGUAGGCAACGACCUGAAAGUCUCAAUUCACCAGAAAAUGGUUGUUACGAUUCUGUUCCUUCUUCUAAGCUCCAUUUACCACAAAAUGGCUGUAACGAUUCUGUUCCUUCUUCUAAGCUCCAUUUACCAGAAAAUGGCUGUUACGAUUCUGUUUCUUCUUCUAAGUUCUAUAUUGUUCACAGCAAGUGCUCAACCAAGAAAUACCAUCAUCAGACCGGGUUCUUCUUUUUCUCCCAAUAACAACUCAUAUUGGCUUUCCGAGUCUGGCCAGUUUGCCUUUGGUUUCUAUCCAUAUGGCAAUGGCUUCUCUGUAGGCAUCUGAUUUGAAAAAAUCCAGCAGAAAACAAUCGUCAAGUCACAAUCUAAUUUCUGAUGUAUCCUAAACAAAUCAUACAAGGGGAAAGUUUCAACUCAUUAUGCAGAGAGAUGGGAAUGUGGCGCAAUACCCAGUAGAUUGAGUGGAACAGGAAACUGCUUACUGGAGUACAGGCACAUCUAAUGCUGGAGAUAAUGUGACCCUGAAUCUUGAUAGUAAUGGUUAGCUUUACCUUUUGAAUUCUAUCACAUUGGUUGUAAAAAACAUUACCGAGAAGGUUAGUGUUUCAGGUAAUCUUAUCUACUGUGCAACAAUUGAUGCAGAUGGAAUGUUUCGAUUGUAUUCACACAGUUUCAACCAAUCUGGUAAUUGGUCAAUCGAAUGGUCGUCCUCUAAUAAUAGAUGCAAUCCUAAAGGCUUGUGCGGUGUGAAUAGCUACUGCACUUUAAUGGAUAGGGAACCUGUAUGUCAAUGUCCUCGUGGUUCUGAUUUCAUUGACCAGGGCCAGAAGGACCUGGGAUGUCAAAAAAUUACAGUGCAGAUGCCUGCACUAGAAAGAGUGAACACAGCUUUGAUGUUUAUGAACUGAGCAGUGUGACCUGGGAAGAGGAUCCUUAUGGUACUCUCCAAGAGCUAUAAAAAGAUGAUUGCAGAGAGGAUUGCUUCAGAGAUUGUAACUGUGAACUUGCCUUAUAUGGAAGUGUAAGGCAAGUAUGCAAAAAGCUGAAGCUCCCAUUAAGAUAUGGGAGAAGACGAUUGGGAGGUAGCAUGACAACUUUUGUAAAGAUUGGUACUGGGGUUAGGACAAUAGUUGGAGGGAAAGGAAAGAAGCGUGAAGUGCGAAUGGACAUUUUCAUUACUGGCAUUGGAUCCUUGAUGCUUGCAUUUUUUGUUUUAAGCAUUCUCUGGCAUUCUUAUAUACAGGCACCGCAUUCAAGAGUCCAAAAGGAUUUCGGAUCAAAGAGAUAGUAGAUUUGUUGAACAAGUCACUUUGAAAUCAUUCACAUACGAGAAGCUAAAACAUGCAACUAAUAAUUUCACGGAUAAUAUUGGCAGAGGAUCUUGUGGGGCGGGUUUUAAGGUGGCCAUAUGUAAUGGUAGCAGAAUUGUAGCCAUCAAGAGACUAGAAAAAGUACUUACAAAAAAAAAAAAAAGAGACUAGAAAAAGUGGUGGCUGAAAGAGAGAGAGUAUUCAUGAAUGAAAUGAAAAAAAUUGGGAAAACCCAUCAUAAGAAUUUAGUUCAAUUGCUUGGUUUCUGCCAUGAAGGAUCCAAUAUGCUUCUGGUGUAUGAGUACAUGAGCAAUGGGUCGCUUGCAGAUUUCUUGUUUAGGUCAAGAUUAAAGACAGAGUGGGAGGGAAGAAUAACUAUAACACUGAAUAUCGCCAGAGGAAUUCUCCACUUGCACGAAGACUGCGAAACUCAGAUCAUCCACUGUGUUGAAAUAUUGGCUUUUGUUUCUAGAAGGAAGGUACUGCACUGGUUUUGUGGUUGAGGUUCAUAGAAGAAGAAAAGCACGUGAUUUACAAAUGUCUCAAUUAAAUGCUUUGCCGUUUAGUUUAUUACUAAUGUCGUUUUUCACAUUUCUAGAUGGUUCUUCAAAUUAGCAAAACUAUGUCAUAUCAAUUUUUUUUUUUUUUUUUCUUUGUAAGCUGUCAUUUUCUCUUUCUCUCUCUCCUUUGUGUACAUGUACAGAAAGGCAUAUGAUUAAAUGUAGUAGUGGAGCUGGGUGCUGAAUAGUGUCUGACAAUUUUUGUCUCACAACUCUCCCUCUCUCGAUUUUUUUUUUCUUUCUCUGUUUUUGGUUCAUCCAUUUUUUUCAGAAAACUUGAUUUAUUCAACACACUGUAACAUCAAACCUGAAAACAUACUCAUGGACGAGAAAGGAUGUGCAAAAAUUGCAGAUUUUGGUUUGGCCAAGCUAUUGAUGCGCAACCAAACCAAAACUUAUACAGGAAUUAGAGGAACAAGGGGGCACGUUGCCCCUGAAUGGUGGCACCAAAACUCACCCAUAACUGUGAAGGCAGAUGUGUAUAGCUUUGGAAUAAUGUCUUGAGAUCAUUUGCUGCCGAAGGAGUUUAGACAUGAAUGCUCCAGAGGAUGAAGCAGUUCUAUAUGAUUGUUUCAUCGGCAAAGAAUUAGAAAAGCUGGUAAAGAAUGAAGAAGUGGAAAAGAAUAUGCUAGAGAAGAUGGUUGAGGUGGGAUUAUGGUGCAUCCAGGAUGAUCCAUCAAUGAGACCAUCGAUGAAGAAGGUUAUCCUAAUGCUAGAACAGACAGUAGACGUACCAGGCCCACCUUGUCGUCCGAGUUCCUUUAUUGGUUCUGUUAGAAGUUCCUCCACGAGUUCCUCGUAGAGCUUUUUAUGUUAAAUCUAUGGUGCCAUGCGCACAUACCAUGUUGACAGCAUUUGCUAAAGAUCAUCAUAUGAAAAUAAUCAGGUGUUAAAUUAUUUCUUAUGAAGACAUUUCCUUCCAAAUACAUUAGGCCUGCAUAUAUUAAAAAGUGGCAAUUAUCACUUAGCCAAGUAAAUAUCUUACCUCCAGUUUGAUACAACAUUGAAAAUUUUAUCUUAAAAAAAAGUAAUUGGAGUUUCUGAAUUCUUUAAAUUCUCUUGUUUGGUUUUAAGUAGCGUCCAAUAUUAAGUCAAAAAUUUCAUUAGAUGAUAUUUAUAUCACCGACGCAACCAAAUUGGCAUUGGAACCGGCAGAAUACCGGUGACAACAUUUCUUGCAUUUAAAGUUUUGGGCUGAAAUUUUGAACAAUUUCUCCGAGAAAAGCAACUGGCACAUAUAUUUGUUACUUUGCUUUAUUUUUUUAUUUGCUAAUGAAAUUUUGGAAAGUGCACAUUUAAUCAAACACUUAAGAAAAAGAUGAUAUUCCCACAACAAAGUUAAUUUUUUUAAAAUUUGACUGAAUACGAAAGAAAAAUUAUUUAUAUUAUACCAACUGUAAAUACCUCUUUAUGUGUAGCACGGGUAGUGUCCUAAUUAUAUAAUAUCACAAGCUACGUUACCCAACGCAUUAGCCUAGUGUCUUAUGGAUUGAAAGAAAAUUUCUUCCUGUUAUUGUCAAGCAUGCAAAUUAAAAUUGAUUUCAUCAAAAAAUUGAGAUAUUAAAAAAAUAAAAAUAAAAUAGAUAUAUUUUAUAUUAAUAUAAAAUUUAGAAUAUACUAGAAGUUUUUUACUUAAUUUGUGAAAUUAAAUUGAAUUUGAAAAUUAGUUUUCAAAUUAAUAUUUUGAAUUUUAUUUGCAUUGCUGUCUUCAAUAUUAACUCUAAGAUAAAAAAUAACAUUUUAAAUUCAAUCCUUUUAUGGCAAUGGAAUCAUUUGAGGUGUUUAAUUAAAUUCAUCUAUAUACUAAGUCAUCACAAUCUAAAAUUUGUCCUUUCGCUACUUCAAAUAUAUAUACAUAUAUAUAUAUAUGUAUAUUUAUUCUCAAAAUUGAAACAUUUAUUUAAUUAAUGUCAUAGUUUAUGGUUUUACUAAAAUUAUCUCAAGCGGUACUGUAAACGAAAUAUUGGAUAAAAUAUUAUAUAAUUAUUAAUUUUUAUUCAAAAAUCAACCAAAAUAAAUUAGAGUGAGAAAUUUUGACUCGAUUAAAAUGUAUUGAAAAAAAUUUAAUAUUGAAUUAUAAUAUAAUAUAAUUAAUGAUAUAACAGAUGUGUAUAAUUUGAUUUAACUUAAAGAGAAAACAUCAAUGAAAAGUAAGGCAUCAUACAUAAAGUAGUGAAAUAAAAAAUCAUAAAAAUAAUGAAAACAUUAGUUCAAAAUUGAUAAAUGCAUCACCAAUUUUAAUCCUUUAUUUUCACUUAUAUUGAGUGAAAAAAAAAACAAAUUUAGUACACUAAUUAGUUCAUGUAAUUCACUAAAGAGAUUAUAUUGUUAAUAAAACUAUUGAUUUGUGCAAAUAAAACAAAGUUGAAAGAAUAGAGAAAACAAUGAAGCUUUUGUUUGCUACAUUAAAAAAAAAUUCGUAAAAAAAAAUGUAGUAGCUGUUUGGGAAAAAAGAAAAAGACAAAAAAGUGAAGCACGGUAAUAGUUCCCAUGUGAGGGGGUAUACCUGUAUACUUUGACGCCCAAUUAUUUGGGCAAUUAGAGUCAAAAGUAGUAGACCUACCGUUACGUGAGGGCGUGCAUUUUGUUGAAAAUAUGUUUUGCCGUCUAAGAAGUGCUACUAUUUUCAUUCAAGGAUUAUGACUUAGAGCAAAAAGAGGUCAAGGAUCAACUUGGCAGGAUGGAGUCUUCUUUCUAACUUCCCUUUCACGCCCUGAAGCAUUCAUAUUACAUGAUGGUUUACCUUUCGCCAGAAGGAGAUACGCAAGGAUCUGAGAGUUUCUAUCAACCAAAAAUGGCUUUUAUGAUUCUGUUUCUUCUUCUUUGUCUAAGUUUUAUACUUAACACAACAAAUGCUCAACCAAGAAAUUCCAUCAUCCGACCAGGUUCUUCUCUUUCACCCAAUAGCAAUUCACAUUGGCUAUCAGAGUCUGGCCAGUUUGCCUUUGGUUUCUAUCGAUAUGGCAACGGCUUCUCUGUGGGCAUCUGGUUUGAAAAAAUCCAGCAAAAAACAGUUGUAUGGACAGCUAAUCGAGAUGACCCACCAUUUUCUAGUGAUGUCACAUUGCUUUUGAGCACAGAAGGUAGGCUUAUUGUGCAACCAAAGCAAGGCCAAGAGAUCCUCAUCGCAAGUGCUUCUCAAUUAGCAUCCUCGGCCUCCAUGCUCGACUCUGGUAACUUUGUUCUCUUCAAUUCAAGUUCAGCGAUUAUUUGGCAGACUUUUGACUUCCCGACAGACACCAUUUUACCUGGCCAGCGUCUUUUGCCUGGUCACAGUCUGGUUUCCAAUGUAUCAGAAACAAAUCAUACAAGGGCAAAGUUUUUUCUAGUUAUGCAAACAGAUGGAAACCUGGUGCAAUACCCAGUAGAUUCAAUAGAACUGGAAGCUGCUUACUGGAAUACAAAAACAUACGGAGCUGGAGAUAAUGUGACCCUAAAUCUUGAUAGCAAUGGGACGCUUUACCUGCUAAAUGCUACCGCGUUGCUUGUACAAAACAUUACUGAAAAGGCUAGUGUCUCAGGUAAACCCAUCUACCGUGCAACAAUUGAUGCAGAUGGAAUAUUUCGAUUGUAUUCACGUAGUUUCAACCAAUUUGAUAAUUGGUCAAUCCAAUGGUCAUCCUCAGAAAAUAAAUGUGAUCCCAAAGGCUUCUGCGGGGUUAAUAGUUAUUGCACUCUAAUGGAUCGGGAUCCUGUAUGUCAAUGUCCUCCUGGUUUCGAUUUCAUUGACCAGGGACAGAAGGACUUGGGAUGCCACAAAAAUUUCAAUGUAGAUGCCUGCACCGGAAAGAGUGAGCAAAUGUUUGAUUUUGAUGAGCUGAUUAGUGUAUCCUGGGAAGUCGAUGCAUAUUCCAGUCUCUCAUCUAUACCAAAAGAUGCUUGCAGAGAGGAAUGUUUUAGAGAUUGCAACUGUGAAGCUGCCCUUUAUCAAAUUAAAAAUCAAUUGUGCAAAAAGCUAAAGUUGCCGUUAAGAUUUGGGAAAAGAGAAUUAAGUGGUCAAGUAAUAACUCUUCUAAAGAUUGGUGCUGCUCUUGAUAGAGGAGGGGAAAGAAAGCAGAGAGAGCUGCGAGUGGACGUCUUGAUCAUUAGCAUUGCCCUGGCGUGUUUUGACAAUUGCAUUUACCGUUAUAGUAGCUGUCGGUGUUCUUAGAUAUAGGUCUCGUGUUCGAGAAUACAAGAGCAUUUUGAAUGUUGGAAAUAAUGGAGUUGUUGAAGAUGUUACUUUGAGAUCAUUUACAUUUGACGAGCUCAAAGAUGCAACUAAUAAUUUCGUGGAUGAAAUUGGGAAAGGAGCUUACGGGUCUGUUUUCAGAGGGGUCAUAUCCAAUGGCAAGAGAAUUGUAGCCAUCAAGAGACUAGAAAAAGUGGUGGCUGAAGGAGAAAGGGACUUCAGGAAUGAAAUGAAAGCAAUUGGGAAAACUCAUCAUAAGAACCUAGUGCAAUUGCUCGGUUACUGCUACGAUGGGACUAAUAGACUACUUGUGUACGAGUACAUGAGAAAUGGUUCACUUGCAGAUUUUCUCUUCAAAUCCAACUUAAAGGUAAAUUGGGAGGGAAGAAUUGCAAUCAUAUUGAACAUAGCCAGAGGAAUUUUCUACUUGCAUGAAGAGUGUGAAACUCAGAUCAUCCACUGCGACAUCAAACCUGAAAAUAUCCUAAUGGAUGACAAAGGGUCCGCAAAAAUUGCAGAUUUUGGAUUAGCCAAGCUAUUGAUGCCUAACCAAACAAAGACAUAUACUGGAAUCAGAGGAACAAGGGGAUAUGUUGCUCCUGAGUGGCAUCGGAACUUGCCUAUAACCGUGAAAGCAGAUGUAUAUAGCUUUGGAAUAAUGUUGUUUGAGAUCAUUUGUUGUCGAAGGAGCGUGGAGGCUGAUGUUCCAGAAGACGAAGCUGUUCUUGCACACUGGGUGUAUGAUUGUUUCAAGGCUAAUGAACUGGAGAAGCUGGUGCCAAAUGAAGAAGUGGAAAUGAGUAAGCUCGGGAGGAUGGUCAAGGUGGGGCUAUGGUGCACCCAAGAUGAACCAUCAUCGCGACCAUCAAUGAAAAAGGUUAUACUGAUGCUGGAAGGGACAGUAAACAUACCAGACCCUCCACUUCUCAGUUCCUUUGUUAGUUCCCCGUAGGCCAUGCCUGACCUCCGUUGCAAGUGUUGAGAUUAGUCAAAAAUUGUUAGUUGUUAGCAUCGUUAACUAAUUUUUUUCAUCAGAGUUUUCUUAUGGUGUUUUCCUGUUUUUUAUAUCAAUGAUAUGAUUGCUGUCAUAUGUAUAUAUCAUGAUAUAUGUUACAAGAAGUGAAAUCUUACUUAUUGAGCUGUGAAUUAUACAAAAAUCCGGCAUUUGCCUCUCCUGUUGGAAUGUUCUAGAUUUAAAGUGAUGAACAAAUUUUUUUGUUGUUCUGUUUGAGCAAAGGCUAGAUAAAAUGUCUAAGGAGAAGGCGACUGAGGCUGUUAGGACUUCAACAAGGAUGUCUCUGGAAAAGAAGGUAGCUACUCUUAAGCCAGCUACGAAGAAAGCUCCUACGCCUAAACGCUCCGACCAAGAGAGUACGGUUGAACAGUGUCAAAUCACCAGGGAAGAAGGGCCCGUCCAACAGAAUAAAGGGAGAGAGAAAAAGGCCAUGUAGGGUAGUUUUGUAAAUUUGAGAAAAAGAAUUUAUAUAUCAAGACAUGAGCAUUUUAUUCUUGUAAUAAAAUCGGUUUAGGUAUUAGGGUGGAGUUUUCAUUUUUAAUAUUAACGGAUCAAAGAGUGAAUUAUGAUCAAAAUAUAAAAGACAAAUGUAUUUUAUCUUGGAAAUUUUCUUAAUUUACAUUUACAAACAUCAAACGUCCAUUUAAAAUAUUCACUUAGUCGAAAAAAACAAAAAAAAAAGGAAUUACCUGUAAAAUUAAGACGUGGCUAUACAAGAUUGGUCCAUCGCAACAGAUUUAUCAAGGCUUACCGCCCCGGAACUAAAUUCCCCUCAACACACGUAGACACGUGACUCUCGAGUCGUGACUCACUUGUACAAGUCGAGAAACUCAGCGGCAAUCAGAUUUGUGCUUUUGUGCUUGGAACCAAAAAAAAACCCCGACGAAAGUAAACGAGGGAAAAAGGAAAGCAGAUAGCCAGAGCUAGGGGUUUCUCAAUUCCAGGCCUAGCUGUUUCUUUUUCUUUCAAUUCAUUCCUUUUAUUUUCCUUUCGCGAUAGGUAAAUUUUUAUUAUAGUUUUUGCUGAGGAGAUUGAAUGGCGGACGGUUACUGGAGUCGGCGACAGGCAACUCCUCCGAUGUUGUCUUCCGGUGGGGUGCUUAAACGACCUCGUCAUGAUUUCGGUACACUCUUUUCUUUGUCAUUUUAAAUGUUGUAAGUUGCGUCUAUCUUUGUUUAUUUGGCAAAAUAUUUUGUUCAAUUUUGUUUAGUUUUAGAUGCUUCAAUAAGUUUAGAAAAAGCCGAAAAUUGUCUAUUGGAUUGGUAGAGUUUUGUUUGAACUCUGUGUCGGACUAAAAAUAUUGCUUUGAUAUUAGGGUUUUCUUUUUUCUUUUUUUUUUGUUUAGUUAGAUGCAUAUUUGGAUAGUCACGCUUUAAAAUGGAGACUUUUCUUAAAAAUGAAAAUCAAUGCUAUGGAAAAUUUUUAAUGCUUUAUUUCGAAAUAAUCGGUUCAAUAUGCAAUAUAGAAUCUGAGUUUUAAGGUAUCAUUUGGUUGUCAGAUAAGAAAUGGAUGAUCAUUGAACACCACACCACUGUAGUAGUAUUGUAGAGCAUCCUUAACCUGUUAAGUUGUUUUUUUUUUUUUUUUAACCUUUGUAAGCUUGCAUUUCACUUCGUUUCUAUUGUUUUGUUUCCCCUCUUUUCUUUUCUCAUUUUCAAAUUGACAUUUGUUGCACAAAUGUCUUUGUUCAUAUUCAAUUACUGUAAUUAUUUAAAUUGCCUGUGCAUAGUUAUUAGUUGGAAAGAGUUGCCAUUUUCUUCUUAGCUAGCUGCCCAUCACUUUCCAGAACAUUAUUUUUGUCUUUCCAUUUUGUUUGUAAUGAAUUUAAGAAAUAUGAUCGUUUCAUGUCUGCAUCUAUUGUAAAAGUUAUUAUUUGCUUUCAAAAAUAAUUAUCAACUAAGUCUUAGAUUUUCAACUUCACAGAUGCCCCAGCUUCUGGGCUGCAUGCAGCUCAUGAGAUGCAUAACUAUUUAGCAAGGGAUGAUGAUCGAGGUGGACAUCUGUCUCUGAAGGACACAAAAACAAUUGGAUCGGCAUAUGAUCGCUAUCUUCAGAGCACGGUACCAUCUUGACCCUUUACCCAUGCUUCUUUAUCCCCUGCCAUGCAUCUCCCUUUUUUUGGUUAUCUAAAGCACUCAUCAAAUUGCUUUUGAAGCAACUUUCUUCUUUUACUUCUGGAGAAGCUAGUACAUUUGGUGGGAUGGGAAGGGCUGUUGGUGGCGCAAUGUCUGCUCGUCCUGUAGCCGAUCCUUCUGUGAUGGGUCGUUCUGGAUCUGCUGCUCUAGAUCUGGCACCAAAUGGUCGAAAUGUUGGUUAUAGUGGUCAACUUCCAGUGGAUGGAAUGACUAGGCCAGGCCAGGACACCAUACCUCUACCUCCAGAUGCUUCCAAUACUCUAUAUGUUGAGGGACUUCCUCCAGACAGCACGAAGAGGGAAGUAGCCCGUAUCCUAUUUAGUGAUGUUGUGCUUGAUAAGAUAUGUUGACAUGUGCUUUUAUGAUACCAUACUUUAACUCAAUUACGCUGUUUCCUACUGGUGGCUCAAAUUCCUUGACCGAAGCUUUAGAUAUCUUUCGUCCUUUUGUGGGAUAUAAAGAAGUACGACUUGUAAGCAAAGAAUCCCGACAUGUAAGUGGACUAGGCAUUUGCAAAUACUUAAUUUAUCUCCUGUAGCACGACUACCUUUGUUGUUUUGUUACACAUGUGAAAUUGUUUUAAGUGGGCUGUUUUGCUGACUGCUGAAACAUAAUGCAUUGGUUAUGCAGCGAGGUGGAGAUCCUAUUAUCCUUUGUUUUGUUGAUUUUUCGAAUCCCGCCUGUGCAGCAACUGCAAUGAGUGCCUUGCAAGGUGAUCCAUUCUUUCCAUUGAUUUAACAUUUAUUAAUGGUAGUUUAUAACUCGACAACGAUACAUUUUUUUUUUUUCAAAAACAAUGAUUGGAAACAAUAACGAAAACUCAAUACUUGAGAUUGAUUUUGGUUACUUAUUUCUGUCUUUUGGUUUUUUUUUUUUUUGUUUCUGGUUUUUGUAUGUUUGUGUGUUCUUUAAGAUUUUGCCAUGCAUGGGUGAUGAGGAAGUGAUAUUAUGCAGGCAGAAAAUAUGUAUGCUAGAUUUUCCUUCAAAAGGAAUGCUAUCAAUGAGUACAUGCAAAUACAAAUACAAGUUUGAACCAUGAUAUGCCAUACUUUGAGCCCAUCAUUCAUUGGCUGAUAUGUGCAUCUGAGUUAAUGCUUUACUCAACUUCCUGAGUAAGUAGACUUUAUCGUUGGUUAUGCAGGUUAUAAAAUGGAUGAACAUGAUCCUGAUUCUAACUACUUAAGGCUGCAGUUUUCUCGGUACCCGGGCCCUAGGUCAAGUUCUGGAGCUCGUGGAAGGAGGUGAAUGUCACAUUCUGGAGACAACUCGGCUGUAUUCAUAUCCAUGUUUAAGCCAAUUCUUAUGGCUCACAUCUUUUCUAUAUAUGGCAGGGUUUUGAGGAGUGGGCAUUUUAAUUAAAUAGGAUAUUAAAAACCUGCGAUUUGAACAGCUUAAUUCUACUAACUAUUAGCACUAGAGAUGCACAAAAGUUUAGGAGAGUGAAGAUCAAGCAAUCCUUGAAUUGCUUGCACAUUUCAUGAAACUGUGUUGUAGAAUAACUUCUAGAUGAAAGAGCUCCUUUUUGUGGUAGAGUCAUGGUACUACUUGCAUUUAGUGUUUCAAGUAUGGGAAUUACCGUUUUUGCACUUUUAAAGCUCGAAUAUUGAUUAGUCUAGCCCAAAGCUAUUCUGUCUUUUAUUCAGCUGAUUGUAUGGCUGUAUGCCAUGUUCAUCACCAUCCAUGGCUUGGUGGAGCUAAUGGAUUUGUAUGAGUAAUGUUUAUUAUUGUGGAAGUUAAUUCUUUUCUUUGGAGUUGAUUAUUUGCAUUGUGGUAAUAGAUGCUUUGCUAUGUUGAGUUUGUGAAUCUACUCAGCUUUACAAGCUUCUGGUGUUCUUUAGAUAACCUCGCAUUGUAAUAUGGUUUCUUUUGCCACAGUGAUGAAUUUUGCUUGUAGAUGUAGUUUCAUCAGUUUGGUCAAUGUGGUUGGUGUGAUGUGCAGCUGAUAUGAAUUCAGUAUGAUUGCCUAUGCCCACUGUUAAGGCACCAGGGAAGAUGAUGGGAGUAAUGUUGUAUGUAAUGUAACUAGCAAAUCAACAGCCCUAAAAAUAUUUUUUGGAUCAUUAAGAGAAAGCUAUGCAUCUAUGCAAGCUAUGUUCUUCAAUUCCUUGAUUGCAUCUUGUGAAGCAGCAUUGGCUUGCCUCCAGAUGCUAAAUUGGUGGGAAACAUAGGUUGGCAAUACCAUCCUAGUUUCUCUGUACAAGGUUAUCAUCCUCAUUCAGAAAUAUGCUGCCCAUUUAUUGGAGCAAAUCGCUGGUCCAAUCAAUUGCUGAAAAAACAAAUUGUUCUAUUCUAACAAAGCCUCUGGCCAAGAAUAUUAUGUUUUAAGCCAUGGGGGUCCAGAAUUUUCUGAAGUUUCAGCCUUUGGCCCAUCACAGUUGAUGUAGGACCAUGGAAAAUGAAAUUACUAAUUUCUAGCUAUAGAUGAGUCCUUGUCUCUCCCCGAGAAGAGAAAACUAGAAAAUUGUAGCCUUCAAUUUUCAUCUUCAUUAAUUUCGAAUUUUUCCUAAUAACCAUUAAAUCAAGUUAAACAUGUUGUACGACUUGUAUAAUAGAGCUCAUAAGUUAGUUAAUUAACCAUAUCUCUAUGUAGUUUUUUGAGUUUGCUUAGCACUUUAAUCCGAGAGAGAGGGGUUAACAACGCACUAAUAGGCCAAUAGGCCCAUUUGGCAAACUAUAAUUAAAUUUGUUUUCCCUAUCUGCUACGCAAAAGCCCAUGUGGGACAGCAAAUAUUAAAUUGCUUUCGAGUACAAUCUUUUAUGGAGUUCGGAAGCUAGUAAGUGAAAGGAGAAGAAAGAGAAAAACGAAAAAGGAAUUAAGCCCAGAUUAAUCUGCUUGUCCCGUUAUUACAUCAACUUUUUCAACCUUUGCAUGGCAUCUUCAAUGGAAUAUACCUGUCAUCCUUCUUGCAUAACCCCACGUGGAUUGUAAAAUCGAGUGAUAGGAAAUUCUCAGUUGUACACUUGUACUAGUCUCCAAAACGAAAAUUGAUUAAAAAUUCUAUCUCAGAACUAGACAGUAUAAGCGACACUGUGCAACAAUCAGUUGAUCGAUCAAUCAUGUUUGGUUGCUGAGAAAAUGCGAACAAAACGUGCCCUACCACCCACCACCCCUGUGAUCACAUGCAAAAAAAAAAAAAAAAUGCCCCUAAUCUCUCUCUUGGCAUUUAUAGCUUUAGGAAAAUUGUUUGACACCUGUCAGAUAAAAUGACACAUGUAGGGUACCAAUGAGAAAAAAAAAAAUAGUUCUCACUGUUUUGAACGUACUCUUUCUCCGUUUGCUAGAGCCAAUGGGUUGAAGCUAGCAGAUCAAUUUGGAGGAGUUAUUUUCAGAUUCCUAGCUAGGAAUGAAUAAUAUUCGACUCCAUGACAGCCGUCCAAUUUCUUGCUCAACAAUAUUAGAUAAAUUUGAUUGAUGGUAACAGUUUAACAAGCCAAAAUUUCGUGUUGCAUCAUAUCCUCAUUCUUGUGUCGGUGGGUGACAACAUUUUUUUUAUAUAGCAAUUGAAUGCGCAGCAUUAAAUAGAUCUGCAAGAGGUUAAUUUAAUAAAGUAGAAGUCGGUAGACAUGGAUAGUUUGACAAGCAAAGGAUUUCGGUAUUAGAUUAAUGUUUUACCUGAGAUUGGGGGGAUGAAGUUGGGUGACAUUGACCAUAGCUUGCUUUGCAAAGGAUUCUUUUCUUUAUUGAAAAUUAUUUUGAUUGUAAUUGUAAUUUUUAUUUAUAAAUAUAAUUUAAUUAAAAAAAGGAGUUUUUUAUGUUUGUGUAUGUAUGUGUGUAUAUAUAUAUAUAUUAUAUAUAUGAUUUGUUGCCGCGGGAAUGAAAGUGAACAGGGUUGCUGUUCUUCGUCUGAAAAGAAGGAACAAAAACAUGGGCGGCUAUUGUCAUAUCUGUUUUUUUUUUUUUUUUCUUUUUACUGCUCAUUUUAGGAAAAGAGCCAAGUCGCUGUUAAUGAUAAAAUCAACAUAUGCUGCCUUUUUAUGGUGGAUAAAGCUUUGGGUGGAGGAGAAUCAAUGGAAAAGCUACAGCUGUACUGUUUCUCUCUUUUCCUUCACUCUUCCCAGCUUUCUCCUUGCUUUUUAAUUAUUGGUAGUAUCUUUUAGUUACAUGCCAAGAUUGACAACUAAGGAAUAAUGAAUAUGAAAAUCAAUAGGAAGUUGCGGUUGCGUUGUCUCUUUCUUUCUGAUCUCUUUGAAAUUAUUUGUAGCUUUUAAAAAACAGGCCAAGAGUGACACCUCGAAAGACAAUCAGAAGUAGAUCGAAAACUGACGCAAAGCGUAGACUAUAUUAGAGAUACCCAUGAUUGGAUCAUGAAUUAAUGUACAAUAAAUAGAUUUUAGCGGUUGAGUGUUGUUUGAUUGGCAAAAGAAGGACUUGGGAUUAAAAUUAGAUAUUGGGCUGCUAAUCAUUGAAUUAAAAGUGAUUUAGCUCAUGUUUCACCCGAUGCAUUGCAUUGUUUUUGGAAGGAAACAAAAUGAGAAUUUACCAAACCCAAAGAAAACUAACAAAAUGAUAACUUAUUAAAUUUGCAGUUGAAAUUUCCAUAUCUAUCUUCAAUUCAUGUUUUGCCAAGUCCAAAAUGUCAAGAAUAUAUACUUUGGAAAAGGUCAAAAUACUUUAACAAUUCUUAAAUUCAUGCGUUUUUUUCAUUUUAAUCCCUUCACUCAAAAUUGUAACAAUUUAAUUCUUUAAUUUUAAAAAUUAUUUCAAUUUAAUCUUUUUAAUAUUUUCCUUCUUGUUGGUUACUUAACUCAGCUCCUCGUUUUGUCUUUAUAGAUAUUUCUUUCUAGCGACCUUUAUUACCUGUCACAUUCAUCAGAAAACUAAGCCUAGAUCCAGAAUUUAAUCUUUUAUACUUCUUUAAGUUAGUGACGUAAUUAACUAGGAUAAGUUAAUCCAAAUCAAGAAAAAUGUAUAUUGACUGAAUCUAAAACCCCUCCCGCAAGUCAUUAUAAUUAUUACUACAUUGAAAAUAAGGAGAUUAGUUAUGACUAUCAUAACUGAAACAAGACAAACCUACGUUGUCUACACAUUAAUUUCUGAGACAUUUUGGAAUAUAUAUAUAUGGACAAAUAUCACAACUUAUAAUUGUCAAGCAUUUAGAACAUUUUUCUUCAUUGGUGGCAGGACUCCACACGUUUAGCGUAAACCAUUUAAUAAAAUGACUUUUUCUAUGUAAUGCUACCUACUCUACAUCUCUCCAAUUUGAUUUUGAAUUGUCUGCUUUUGCCUUGCUUUCGUCUCUAACUAAUUAACUCUCUCUAUGUAUUACCUUUUCUUGCCAUCUUUAAUUUGACGGUUCAAAAGAAUAACCUUUUGUUAGGUGAAGUUAAUAUUAUUAAUAGAAAGAAAGUACAAAUAGAAUCUCACAUACACCAUGACUUGAUCUGGUUUAUUAGGUAAAAGUAAGUUUCUCUAGUUGUUUCCAGAGAGUUUAAAUACAAAAAAAAAAAGAUAGAAGCAGUCAAACAUAGAUAAAACAAGUCGUAUUCUUCACCAAACUCCUCAUCCGUACUCAAGUGAUAAGGAAAGUGCAACUCUCGGAGAAUUGUGAAGCUCAAGUUUCAUUCCAUCUAGCUGGCUUUUAAGACCUUUUCUUCCAUGUUUUUUUUUUGUCGUAAUUACAACUCCAUAUAAGUCUAGUUAUCUCAAAUUAUCGAUCUAAUUAAAAAUAAUAUCACUAAUAAUUUUUCUCAAAUUAUCGAUCUAAUUAAAAACAUAUCAUUUAUCUCAUGAUUUGUACUGUUCAUUACCUAAGAGAUGGCUAUUUGCGAAUUUGAUUCAACAAUAAAUGAUGUCUUCCCCAUCUUCCCAGAUGAAUUAAAAACUUCCAAAGCAACGUUAAUAGCUAUUAAUUUUACAAAAUAAUUAUUUUUAUCAGUUACGGAAUGAUAUGCAUAACAAAAUUCCUAGUAUAGAAUGCAUAAUAAUUUACAAUUAAAUUUUACAUGUAUAGUUUUAAUUUAAAAUGCACUUUACACUGAUGCUUGCUUAAGUUUUAUUUUGUGCACUAAAACAAAAUUUGUUUUGUAGUGAUAUGAAAAAAAAAAACCUUAAAAAUUUCAAUUUAAAUCAAGUAAUUAUAAAUCGAAGUGGUAGAGAUUUAAGUAAAAGAUUCGAUCCGUUAUCUCUUCUUGCUUUGAAAACAGUACUCUGUUUUUUUCCUUCAAGAGGAAGAACUGUACUGUUUUAUUUGAAAAUGAUAGCUACUUUAUCUUUUUCUUUUCUUAUAAAAAUCACUACUUAAUCUUCGAAUCAUGAUUAAAUUUGACAGAGGCUAAUCAUGCAUUAGCUAUUGAGUACACAUCAGUAGCUGGUCCUUUUCAAGCAAUUAAUGUAUAACCAAAUAAAUUAAUCUCAUCUGAACUUAUAUUAGAGGUUUUAAUUAAGUUGUGGUUAGUUAGAACUAGGGAAGGGUUUCCUCUGCCGGUGAUUAAAUUAAUCAAAUGCUAACUAAUUGAGCAUAUGUUAUGUAAAACGUGAUUUUUGUUGCUUUCAUGCUUAAAAGUUUAUACAUAUAUAUGUUCUAGUUGGAUUAAUGGUAUAACAGCUUAAUUGGAACAAAAAAUAAGAUAAAAUCAUUUAAAUUAUCUUCAUUAAUACCAUAUUUAACUAUAGAUGAUGAAUUGGUAUUAAAAAUAUUGGACUUUGUUCGUUAUUCGCCCACAGGAAACAAAAUUUUUGGAAACGACAAAGUAGAGACUGGAGAAUGCAGAGCAAAAGAAAGUGUAGCCGCCUGGUCCCGUAGCCAAAAUAUCAUGGAAAGUUAGGCAGCCACACAAUGUUUUCAAAGCAAUUUAAUCCAUAGAAAAAAAGAAAGGGAAAUAUGUAUGUAUAUACAUAUAUAUGGUAAUUAAGAAGAAAGAUUUCUGUUUGAAUUAUGGUAUUUAUUUCAUAGACUACUACUUUAUUCUCUGCUUAGCUAGCAACCUCAAUCGAAGCUGCCAAAUUCAACGAUUGGAACCCGUGGUGUCAUUUCUCCUUACAUUCAUUAAAUCCCGUUCAAACCUGCACCAUUUGCAAUUUAUUUUUAUUUUUAUUUUUAUUUUAAUCGUGGCGUUUGACAAAGGUUAAACAAUUUUUUAAGCCGAUUUUACCAGGAUUACAAGGUAAAGACAAAAUCUAUAUAAAGGAAGCGAAGAGGUUGCCCCAGAGCAGAACCAAAACCCACUUUGUUGUAAAGAUGGGAAAAAUGGGGUCUUCAAUGACCUCUCUCUUCGUCACUCUCCUAGUGCUAGCAGUGUCUCUCAGCUUGCCUUCUGAAACCACAGCAAACUACCCUUACGCAUCUCCUCCGCCACCACCUCACUACUACUACAAGUCACCACCUCCUCCUCCUCCGGUGUACUCUCCGCCACCACCCAAGAUACCUUACAAGUACCCGUCUCCUCCCCCACCAGUACACUAUCCUCCACCACCUUACGAGUACAAGUCUCCCCCUCCUCCUCCCCCAGUUUACAAGUACAAGUCUCCUCCACCUCCACCAAAGCACCCCUACAAGUAUAAGUCUCCUCCCCCACCACCUCCAGUUUACAAGUAUAAGUCCCCUCCACCACCACCACCAUCACCACCCAAGCACCCAUACCAGUACAAGUCUCCACCUCCACCACCCCCAGUUUACAAGUACAAGUCCCCUCCACCACCACCACCAUCACCACCCAAGCACCCAUACAAGUACAAGUCUCCUCCACCACCUCCUCCAGUCUACAAAUACAAGUCUCCUCCUCCUCCCCCUAAGGAGCCUUACAAGUAUAAGUCUCCUCCACCACCUCCUCCAGUUUACAAGUACAAGUCUCCUCCUCCUCCUCCUCCAAAGGAGCCAUACAAGUACAAGUCUCCCCCACCACCCCCUCCAGUCUACAAGUACAAGUCUCCUCCACCACCACCACCCCAUUACGUCUAUUCAUCACCCCCUCCUCCUCACCACUACUAAGCAACGGCUUUGACCGUACUGAGGUAAAAAAAAACAAAGUUUCAUUCAACAAGAUAACAUACAUUUUCUUCUGUAGUUUUUUUUUUGCUUAGUACGUAACACCAUUUUUCAAUAAAUGUUUUUUCAUCUCUUCAAGCUGCAUAAUUAAAUCACAAUUUUUUUG